Molecule: long non-coding RNA, 58731 nt
Filed under: Triticum aestivum (bread wheat)
Lineage: Eukaryota; Viridiplantae; Streptophyta; Magnoliopsida; Poales; Poaceae
Description: long non-coding RNA (TAES_LNC010339)
Source: RNAcentral
UGUAAUGUUCAGUUAACACUUUGGUCCAACAAUUGCUACAUGUCGUAGUACUGUUCUCAAGCAUUCUUUGUUUUGUUAACUGUCUUAUCUUCUAGUACAUGUUUCUAUUCUACAUUGUCGUGCUCAGUUAACUAUUUUGGUUCAUUUGGUAUGUUGUCCAUUUAACUAUUUGGUUCAGUUUUGCAAUUUGAUUUUCAUUUGCUGUGGGUACAAUUUUGUAUUGUUAUGCAUGCGACACCAACCGAAUUUGGCUGUACUCAAUACAUAUUCUACUGUUAGUAUGGCAACUCUCAGUUAACCUGAUCAAGAUCUUCCUUAUGUGUGUUGCAGGGAAACAAUGGGAGACACUGCGGUUUACCAUCGAGGUUUGUUCAAGCAGGGUCGUUUGGCUAAUAGCACAUUAUUGUGAAGUUGCAGGAAUCAUUCUAAUAUUUAGGUUUCUUACAAUUUGGUCUUGCACAUGUUGGUCCUGCAGUCAGAGGCUUAGACCCACUGUUCGACCCAUUUUGCAUAUGGGGAAAUGAGAUGUCCAUGAAUAUCAGUCAAGUCAAGAAACUUAGAAAGAUUGUUAGGAUGAAGAAACUUGCGACGAAUAACAGCAAGAUCUUUGUGUGCACAAUGAAGAAGACAUUAGUCAACUAUAGGAUGGUACCAACUCUUUUCCCUUGUUUUUACCCCAUUUCAAAAUUUACAAUAGUGAUUUAUGCAUAGCUUUGUUUUCAAUACUUUUCAAAGCAGUUCACCGAUGAUUACCUCUCAAACCACCUGCAUGGUCAAGAGGCGAGGAAGGUAUUCAUUCAACACCCAUAGUACAAUAUUGAAGUCUUGCUGAAGAGGAUGAAGGUUGGGCGGGCAAUUCUCCAUAGCCACUAGUCUAAUGUUGCAAGGACAUUCAACAUCACUGAAAGCUCAAUAUUUGUCUUCCGCUUCUGCAGUUUCCCAGAUGAGAUUCAUCUGUCUAUUUACCGUGUAUGAUGCUACUUUCCAAAGGUUUUUGAUGCUGCAUGUGAAACUUGGUGCAGUUGUGUAAUGGUGUAACUGAGUGCCGAAGCUAUCUGAUGUAAUUCGGUUAUGAAAUCCUGGUUGCUUUUAUAUGGAUAUGAAAUAUGUGGAGUGUUUUAUAAGAAAUAUCAGUUUGAUUAGUACAUGGAUUAUCAAUAAUAGGCUAAUUACCCUGCUUAUUGGGGUUUCCUAUUGCAAACGAUUAACCAGAGAGCACCGUGGGCGAUGAACUCAAACAACCCACACAGUUUCUAGAAAUUAGGCGUGUUCGAUCAACUAACAAUCACACACGGCUUCCGGCAGCGAACUGUUUGCAUUAGGCCACCUUGCACAAACGUUUCCACACAAAAACUAUGUGGGAUGUACAUAUCUACGGAAAUGAUUUUCUGGGAUUCACCGUGUGGGAUUUACAUACCUACAGUAAUGAUUUCUGGGAUUCACCGUGUGGGAUGUACAUACCUACAGAAAUAAUUUAUGGGAUUCACCUUGUGGGGUGUACAUACCUACGAAAAUAUUUCUGGGAUUCACCGUGUGGGGUGUACAUACCUACGGAAAUGAUUUCUGGGAUUCAUCAUGUGGGAUGUACAUACCUACGGAAAUGAUUGAGUUUCGAUGCCUCGCCCGCUCGCACACUGCCCCAGCCUAGGUCCUAGGAGGGCCUAUCCCCGACGAUUUCUGGGUCGUGUGGGAAGGACACCAUAUCGCACACACUCACUUGGCAACGGUUCCAAAUGACCUUGCGGAAAGGGGUUUUAAACCGUUUGUUUAGGACGUCACUGUACCAGUGGAGAUUAUGCGUCAAGUACAGGAGCUGCUCGAUAACGGUUAUAUACGUGAAUCUCUUAGUCCUUGUGUUGUUCCUAUUAUACUAGUGCCAAAAAAAGGGUGGUACGUCACAUAUGUGUGUUGACUGUAGAGGCAUUAAUAAUAUUACUAUUCGUUAUCGUAAUCCUAUUCCUAGGCUCGAUGAUAUGCUUGAUGAAUUGAGUGGCUCUACAAUAUUCUCCAAAGUUGAUUUGCAUAGUGGAUACCAUCAAAUUCGCAUGAAAUUGGGAGAUGAAUGGAAAACAACAUUUAAAACUAAGUUUGGUUUAUAUGAGUGGUUAGUCAUGCCUUUUGGGUUAACUAAUGCACCUAGUACUUUCAUGAGAUUAAUGAACGAAGUUUUACGUGCUUUCAUUGGACGAUUUGUGUUAGUCUAUUUUGAUGAUAUACUGAUUUAUAGCAAAUCUUUGGAAGAACAUUUGGAACAUUUACGUGUUGUUUGUAUUUCUCUAUGUGUUGCAUGUUUGUUUGCUAACCUUGGGAAGUGCACCUUUUGCACCGAACGAGUAUCUUUUCUUGGCUAUGUUGUUACUCCAUAGGGAAUUGAAGUUGAUAAAGCCAAGAUUGAAGCUAUUGAGAGUUGCCCGCGGUCCAAAACGGUCACACAAGUGAGGCAUUUUGUAAGAGAUUUUAGCACCAUGUUGCACCUCUCAAUGUGCUUACAAAGAAGGAUGUUCCUUUUGUUUGGGGUACCGCACAUGAAGAAGCCUUCACGAUAUUGAAAGAUAAGUUGACACAUGCUCCUCUACUCAAAAUUCUUGAUUUUAAUAAGAGUUUUGAGCUUGAAUGUGAUGCUCGUGGAAUUGGAUUAGGAGAUGUGUUAUUACAAGAUGGCAAACCUGUUGCAUACUUUUCUAAAAAAUUGAGUGGGCCUAGUUUGAAUUACUCUACUUAUGAUAAGGACUUAUAUCCUAUUUUUGGAAUUUAAAAACAUGGCAACAUUAUUUAUGGCCCAAAGAAUUUGUUAUUCAUUCUGAUGAUGAAUCUUUGAAACAUAUUAAAAGUCAAGCAAAAUUGAACCAUAGACAUGCUAAAUGGGUUGAAUUCAUUAAGAUUUUCCCUUAUGUCAUUAAACACAAGAAGGGUAAAGAAAUGGUUAUUCCUGAUGCAUUGUCUCGUCAUUAUACUAUGCUUUCACAACUUGACUUUAGAAUAUUUGGUUUGGAUACCAUCAAAGAUCUAUAUGUGCAUGAUCCUAAAUUUAAAGAUGUAUUGCAAAAUUGUAAAGAAGGGAGAACAUGGAACACGUUCAUCGUUAAUGAUGGAUUUGUGUUCCGUGCUAACAAGCUAUGCAUUCCAGCUAGCUCUAUUUGUCUUUUGUUGUUGCAGGACGCACAUGGAGGAGGAUUGAUGGGACACUUUGUCAUGAAGAAGACAGAGGAUGUACUUGCUACACAUUUCUUUUGGCCAAAGAUGAGACGGGAUGUUGAGCGCUUUGUUGCUCGCUGCACUACUUGUCAAAAAGCUAAGUCACAACUCAAUCCUCAUGGUUUACUAGUAGACUCCGCGUGCGUGCCACGGGCUAACAAAUGAAUUGGUUUUACUACCACGAACAAGCACAUUGCACGCAAUGUUCAACUACAACACAAACGCAAGUAUCUUCCUCUUUAUUCCAACAAACAUCAUGCACCCCUCUAGCAUCUCUUCUCCGUUGAACUUGUCAUACAUCACCUUCUUUGUCCAUACAUCAAUCUAUUGCCCCUUGACUCUGCAUGGGGCUUCCGUGUCAUUGUUUUGUUGUCUCACUCUACUACAUGCGCAACAUGGAACAACAUCAACAAAUCAUCAGAUAUAAUGCAGACCUUAGAACAAAAAAUAAGGAAAGGGCGCAUAUGGACAUGGAAACAUUCUUUCCACCACAUGUUCAUUCCCAAACUAACUAUGAAUAAUUCUCUAUUUGUCUCAGGGUUAUCCUUCCAUCUCCACCUAAGAUGAGCCUCCAUCACUUUACCUCACUAAGACUUAUUUUCCUAUCAUCCUCAUAUAUACAUACUACCAUCACACGACAAGGUUGGAUCAUUGUCAUUCCACCUCUUCUUCCAUGAGCCCUGCCACUUAAAUCUUUUGCUCAUUGCGACACCAGUCUCACACGACAAGGUUGGAUCAUUGUCAUCCCACCUCUUCUUCCAUGAGCCUUGCUACUUAAAUCUUUUGGUCAUUGCGACACCAGUCUGCUCCGCCAUCUCCCUGCUCCAAAUAUGCCUAUGAACUUGUAAAAAAUACUCAUUUUACUCCCACGAACAAGCAUAUUGAAUGUAAUGUUCAAGCACAACACAAACACAAGUAUCUUCCUCUCUAUUCCAACAAACGGCAUGCACCCCUCUAGCCUCUCUUCUCCAUUGAACUUGUCGCCAAUCGCCUUCUUUAUCCAUACAUAAAUCAUCCUCUCAAUCUAUUGCCUCUUGACUCUGCACAUGGCUUCUAUGUUGGUGUUUUGUUGUCUCACUCUACUACAGACGCAACAUGGAACACCAUCAACAAAUGAUGAGAUAUAAUAAACCUCACCUUAGUACAAAUAAUAAGAAAAGGGGGAAUAUGUACAUGGAAACAUUCUUUCCACCAUAUGUUCAUUCACAAACUGACAAAAAAUAAUGCUCUAUUUGUCUCCAGGUCAUCCUUCCAUCUCCACCUAAGAUGUGUCUCCAUCACUUUACCUCUAUAAGUCUUCUUUUCCUAUGGACCCCAAAUAAACAUACAAUAAUCACACGACAAGGUUGCAUCACUGUCAUUCCAUCUCUUCUUCUACAAGCCCUUCCACUUAAACUCGUUUGGUCAUUGCAACACCAAUCUGCUCCAAAAGUGGGAUCAUGUGUCACCUGCUCGCAUGCUCCUCAGCUUCAGUAAUUGAAUAGAUAUGUGAUAUUGAUAAAACUACUCUACAACACCAUGGAUGCUACAACUACAGAAUAUAUUUUCCAAACAUAAAUCUCAAACAAAAGUAACACAUAGUCGGUAUUUCAAGACAUAGAGCAGAGAGGCUAAUCAAUAAAAGUAUUUGUCGUUGCUUGAUGUAACAAGUUGUGCAAGAAAAGUGGACAAAAUAUAGCAUCACAAUAUAUUCUCUUGCAAGGGAAACGUUGAAUUUGUGCUAUGAACCUUGCCAAUGUUCAGCACGGUACUAGCAAAGAAGCUAGAGCAGAAAAAUGAGAGCAAAUUACUUGCAUGAAGGAGCGAGUCGGGGAGAAGCCAAAUGAGAUUUCACCCCAUAAUGGAAAGGGGCCAAUCUCCUCGCCCCACAAGGUGUAGGCUAUCUACUUACACAUGUAGGAGAAAUACAUCUACAACAUCCAUUAUAUGCGGAAGUCAACAGAAGCUAAGUCACUAUCCUGUAAAUCUGACACCCUAUGAAAUGCACAAUAAGUAAAAUUAAGCCUAAUUUUGUUACAUUUUUAUCAAGCUCUAAGUGUGCAUAAACAGUAGCUAGAAAUCGCUUAAAAACAGGACCUAUUAAGUCUAGAGAGUCAAGUAACACUGCUAAAGAGUCAUGUUUAGAACCAAAGAAUGGCAGAUGUGUUCAGAAACACUAAUUAAAUUAAACCAUCCUAGAGCAUAGGUCAAGCGCAAGUGCCCUUCUAUUAUUAUCAAAAUUCAAAACAAACAGAACCUACCACCGUAUAGUUUCAAACCAUGCCCUGGGUUCAACCAAUGCACACUCAGGUAGUAACAACCCAAACCAUGGCGUAAUCAGAAGUAACUACCAAGCUACACCAGAGUUAAUCCUGCCGAUUCAUAGCUCAAUAGUACAAGAAAUCAUAGCACAAAACAGGGCCAGAUGGCCACCACAAAGUAAUCCCUCAUCGGCAUGAUCGUAGUAUUAUGAUUAGAGAGCAGGAAUAAAAGGUUUUCAUGAUAAUGUAAUAUAAUUCAGAUCCACAAUAUGGAAUCCACAAACAUAUCAAAAAUUAAUAAAUGAAUUUUUUUAUCAACACCAUGUUUUUCUUUAUUACACCUCAUCUGCAUUUUAUGGUUAUGUCAAUCUACAAUUCACACAUAUAAGAGCAAACAUAAUGGCUUGGUGGUAUGUAUGCUGCUAUCAAAACAUAAACAUCACAUGGCUUGCAACAAAUGCAUGCAGAUGGUGCACGCUGGUGGUCUGAGUUAUUUAUUUAGGAGAAGAAUAGUGACUUGUACAUUGAGGUGCUACUAAGGAGAUCAGCUAUAGUUAAAGGAGCCAAGUUCAUUUUUCAACACAAUGUACCAUCCUUGAAAAUGAGACUUCUGAUUUAUCAAUAGUGCACUUUAGAAUGCUUAGUCAACAAGGAUCACUCUACAUACACUGAAUACCUUUGCAUAGCUCUGUCAACCAGAUUACAAAGCAUCACCAGUCUAGGUCCUCAGCAUCAAUCUCUUCAUCACUGGCAUCUUUCUCAAUGAGGUUAUAGACAUCACGAACCUGAAAGUCCAACACAUGACACACAUGACCUAACUCUUCGAUACACCUGUUUGGUUGUACCAUAAAAUCGACAAUUUCUGCAACCUGAAAUUUUUUCGUGUAUGAUCAAAAUCUAGAAGUGCUAUAAUAUGUCUUCAUAGAAAAAUCAAAACCUAAAUGACAUGUUGAACAAGAAACAUAUGCUGAAACCAUAGAACUGGAUCGAAAAGCUAAUAGAUCAAGGGAAAUAUAAGGGCGGUGGAGGCACUAAUUACUUUAUGGGGUCAGAGAAAGCAUCUCGUGGGGGUGUCGAUUACCAGGAGUUGUCAGCACGCUUCCAGGUGCAUGAAAAAGAAAACUAGUCAAGUGCAUACCAUCUACUUGUCGCAUUGCCUCUAUAAUAUAGUCAUGCAAGGUUUGGAUCCCCACCAUCUCUGAAUCUGAUCCAUCAACAAAUUAUCUAAGAAGUUAAGUGUUAAAACCUGUUGGCUGAAAAACAGAUAAUAUAGAAGACAAAAAUAAUCAGGUUAUUUUGUCACUUCAAUUGAGAUAAAUAUAUACACAUUUCAAAUAAAGCUUAUUUGCGACUCUAGAAAUAAAAGGCUGGAAUUAUUGCUGGCACUAAUUGCUUUAACGCAUACUGUCUGUACAGUGUUAAUGCUUAAGUAGCACUGGUUGUCAUCUCGAAUAUAUUUUAUGAUACACAUAUUUGUGCUUACAGAUGAGAAUAACAAAACAAUACAUUGUAGAGAAUGUUCCUGUUUCUUGCAAGUUAGGAAGUGAAGAAAAUAGGAGUAACCAAUCUUCUAAAUCUGAGCACCCAUCUAUGCCUGCAUCGAUCCUUGGCCCGCCCAAUCGACUCUGCAAAACAAAGCCUAUAGUACAACGCAUACCUCCAGCCACGAGUUCAUCACAAAAAUCGGCGGUCCAACACUUGCUUACACCAUCGACACCAUCCCACCGUCACCGCAACCCUGUCACCACCCCGCCGCGAAUAUAGCCCCUUUACCUACCACUGCUGCAUCACCUCUCACACAAACAGAGGCGGCCGAACGCAUGCAGGCUUUGACCACUCCCACGCCAUGCCUCUCCGUCUGCGCGCGCGACCCCGUGGCACCAGAACCUUUGACCUUGCCUCCUGCUCUACUAACCGACGACACCCUCAUGAACCGGGUCCAUACGCCGCCCACCACUGAAUCGACGGACCCACCACCAAUUCACGAACAUCACAAGACUGCCCAUGCUCAACUUGCCUGCAUGCCUCAUGCCCACGUACAUAGCCUGCCUUCCCCCCAAAACACGGAUGCACCAUCCGCGCCACUCCCAUACCCUGUCUGCUUUCGGCUCCCUCACACAACACUAGACAAAUCUACCAUGGACCCUGCUUUGACUGUCAGAACCACGUCACUGCACGUUGGGACACCCACAAACAAGUUGUACAGGGGCGCCCUGCUCUCUCCCUCUAUCCUCGCACCCCCUCUGCCUAUAAAUACUGCAUGCAUGGGACUCCACCUCCCACCAUCCAUUCCCUCUUCUCCACUUCUCGUCUCUCGACGACGCUGCUACCGCUGCCUAGCCCUGGACCAUCAGGUCCAACACUGCUGCAACCCUGUGAGGUGUGCAAGGUGCUGGUGCUCCAGCCACAAAGCUCGACGUUGCAAGGCUGUUCGCCUACUCCAGCUCUUUCCACCAUUGCCAAGAAACCCCACGUCUAGCCCAGCCUUCGCACCCUUCCCUUCACCAGACCCAGCUACCUCCAUGGCCAACUCGUUCCUGCAUCCUUCCGCUACCAUCGCCGACCCUGCUUUCCCUUGGCCUCGCCACGGCUCGGGUCCUGACGCCCCGCUCAUUGGCAUCCCAGUCGCUCGCUCCAUCCCACCCUCCACCACACCGCACCACCUUCCGGCGCCAUCCCGACCACUUCCAUCACUACCCACCCAGCCCGACCUGGACGAUCUGCGUGCCCGCCUCAACGAGGCGCGUGCCGCUGCCGCCUUCGCCCCGUCACCCCAUCCUGCACGCGCGCCUACACGCAUGGGGUCCGGGCCGGCAGCCGCCUCGGUCCCCCUCAUCGUCGCGCCUUCUUGCCUUGUCCACGAUGUGGGUCACAUCGCAUUCGCGCACCUCUGCACGCCCGUCCACAACCCGGCGUCUCUCAUCUAUGAUGCCAUCCUUGCUCACGCCGGCAGCCCAAGCUUCAGCAUCGCCGGCUCAUGGCGUGGCGCCGGCUGCGUCACCUUCGAGUCGGCAUGCGUUCGAGACUACCUCGUCAGCCUGGAUUCUCUUGAGUUUCGUGGCAAUGCGAUCUCACUGGAGCCUGUUGAGCUGGCGGACCGCGCCUCCCCGGUCUUCGAUCAGCUCAUCAAGGUGCACGUCGCCGAAUUCCCCCACGAGCUCUGCCAUGUCGCUGGCAUCAGGUGGGCUCUCAGCCGCCUUGGUGAUGUCUGCUCCAUCGACCACUACUGCCUUGAGGGCCGGGACUACACGGCUGUCCGCGCCCUCAUCAUGAUCGACCGCCGCCAGCAACUGACCGACUCCCUCGCGAUCCAGCUGCCUCCGACCAACGAUAUCAAGAUAGUCAAGAUCACCAGGCUCGCCACGGUCCUCGACCGCAUGGGCCCCCUCGACCCAUCACCGUUCUCUUCGGACUCCGACUCCGAUUCGGACGGCUACCCCCACGCCCGCCGCACUCCGCGCGCGCACGCUCGCGGCGGCCUCGCGGACCAUGAGUUGCCUCGCGGCCCCCCGCCGUCUCCUCGCUCCAACAUGGCGCCAUCACAGGCUAAUCUGGACGGCGCCACCGAAGACUCGCCUAUGCUUCUCUCAUUCGGCGAUGAGCUCCAGACGGCGCAAGGCCAAGCUGUCACCAUCAUAUCUUCUGACGACGACUCCGCUCCUCCCUCCCAGCCUGCCUCACCACCCGCGGCUUUCACUACAACGACCGUCGUUGACUCCUCUGCUUCACCCGCCAGCGUCGACCGCCCCUCCCCACUCCCGGCUAGCGCCGCCCGGGAGAUCGUUCUGCCUCCGCCAGCCCAUCCGGUUGGCGGCGAUAAUGACGACGCUGCUAUCACUCCCUCCGCCAUGGCGCUCCCAUCUGCUUUCCGUCCAUACGACAGCUCAACUUCGUUAUUCCUGCCGCUCGACGCCUCCUCAAUCAUCUUCUCUGCCGGGGCUUCAUCCUCUGAAUCCUCCACCCACAAGAGCGUACUCCGCAAACUGCGCCACUGCGCCAAACGCUCUAUGGACAAGAGCAUGAGCCUGCGCCGGAGCUCGCGCUUGGCCGCCAAGGAACCCAAGGAGUUCACUGACAUGACCACCAAGGCGACACGAAUCAAAGCCGCCAGGCUCACUGCCUUUGAUGUAGCCAAAGCUCUCAAGGAUGCCAUCCACGAUGCCAAACUCGACAUCCCCGACGCCCUGCCCGCGCCUGCCGCACUGCUCGCUGAGAUCGCCAGCCUUUGCGGUGCUGAUGACCAAGGUUUUGGUAACCGAAUGAGGCAUUUUUACCGAGGGGGACUGGUAAACGCGGUUACCACGAUUACCAAGAAAUACCGAUAAAUACCGAGGAUAUUUCGAACGAAUUUUAUAGUUGAUUUUUGAAUUCAAAUAAGUUAAUGAACGAAUAUUUGAACCAUAAACCUCUCAAAACAGGAACUAGGUUACUACCAACACACCAGAACCAACUCUCAUGGCAUUAGUUAGAUCCUACGAACUUUACUACAAAUCGAGUGUUUAAAUUAAAAAAAUUAAAAAAACUGGUAUUUUUUGCUUGGUACGUGGAUUUAUCGAGGGGCACGGAAAUACGCGGUAACCAUGGGAAAUCUCGAAAUUUCGACCGGUAACCAAAACCUUGCUGAUGACUCGGCGGCCGCUGCGGUUGCCGAAGCUGACGAUGACGACGACGUCGGCGGUGCUGCUGGUGUGCCAUGAUGUGUGCAACAUCUGUUUCGCGCCUCCUCGGCGCUCUAAUGGCCGCCUGCCGUCCUCAACUACCCUACGCCCCUAGGGCCUAUCCUUUCCUUUCCAUGCCUGUACGGACUGGUUUUUCAAACUACUCCACCUAUCCUGCCGUUUGUCAUACUCCUUGCUUUCGUACUCGUAGUUUACUUCCGUCUAGGUGCCGGCCUUGUCUUUAUGUGUAACGCUGCCUUAUCUAUUUGUUCAUGGAAUGUGAGAGGGCUCGGUGAUGAAGAAAAGGGUCGGUCUACCUGGCGGCCGGGGGCUCCCUAGCGCUAGCGAGCGGCCGAGCAAAAAAAGUAAGCUAAUCCAAAAGUGCUAAAAGGCACUGCUAAUUAAACAUUUUAUAUGGUCUUUUCUCACGUGAUGGAUGCUUGCAUGCCGCUGCUUUAAUGUUUCUCAUGUUUGUUUCUUGUGCAUUAAUUUUUGGUUUUCAAAAUUAUAAAAGGCAUAUCUUCUAAAUCGCGUGUCGAAAUUCAGAUCCGUUUUUACCGUUGAAACCCUCGCGACGUGCUCUUCAAAAGUAGACCCCGCAUGAGGAUGUUUCGACGAACUAGCCUUCCUGCCAACUAAACACCAAUGUGUGUGCAACUAGACUACAUUGUCGCACCAACUGAGCAUAUGUGUGCGCCAAUAGUCCUGUCAACUAAACAUUAAUGUGUGUGCAACUAGACUACAUUGCUGCGCCAACUGAGCAUAUAUGUGUGUAACUAGUCAUGCCAACUAAAUAUUAAUGUGUGUGCAACUAGACUACAUUGCCGUGUCAAUUGCAUAUAUGUGUAUGUAACUCGUGUCCUGCCAACUAAAUAUCGAUGUGUAUGCAACUAGACUAAAUUACAAAUCAACUAAGCAUAUAUGUGUAACUAGUCAUGCCAUCUAAAUAUUAAUGUGUGUGUAACUAGACUACAUUGCCGUGCCAAUUGCGCAUAUGUGUGUAUAAUUAGUGUCAUGCUAACUAAAUAUCGAUGUGUAUGCAACUAGACUAAAUUACAAGCCAACUGAGCAUAUGUAUGUGUAACUAGUUUUCCUGUCAACUAAACAUCAAUGUGUGUGCAACUAGACUACAUUACAAGCCAAUUAAACAUCAAUGUGUGUGCAACUAGUCUUCCUGCCAAUUAAAUACUAAUGUGUAUGCAACUAGACUACAUUACAAGCCAACUAAAUAUCAAUGUGUGUGCAACUAGUAUUCCUGCCAACUAAAUAUGAAUGUGUAUGCAACUAGACUACAUCAUAAGUCAACUAAAUAUCAAUGUGUGUACAACUUAACUACAUUACAAGCCAAUUGAGUACAAACUUGACUAGGCAUAAAAUUGCUUCGUCCAGAUUUAGCAAACCACCAUCGCAGUGUGAGAGUAUGUGCGUUGGGCGUUGGUUGAAGGACACCGCCGCCACCCUGGCCAUUGGUCACUGCAACGGGCUACCACCUCGUCUUGGGCAGCCGCGGCGCCAGGAGGUGCAACUGGAGUCCGCCUGCAACGAGACGAGCCGGAGGGCGUCGCUAUUUUGCCGUGUCCCAUUUCGUCGCCGCGUCGAGCGAGAGGGCCCAUUUGACCGACCGUGACGCUGGCCCGUUUGACCUCCCAUCCAAUCAAUUCUAGUCGUGAGCGGCUCUUUCCCCAACUCCGACGAAGGGAAGAAGGCUCAAUCCACCUCUGGGAACUGAGAAGGAGCGUCCAGGAGGUGGGUUGGCAGCGGCCGGCGCGAGUUGAGGCAGAGGUGGCUAGCGCGAGAGAGGCGGAGAUGGCCCGCGCGAGCUGUGGUGGUGGCGGCCAACGCGAGGAGGAUGGAGACGAAGGAUGGGGACCCGUUUGGAUAGCGACAAACGCGAGUGGUUGAGAGGGCCCGACCACGUAGCACCUGACCCAUGAGCGUGACGGUUCAGGCGAGAUCAUGUGGCUAGGGAGCGGCCGCUCGUGAGCGCCAGAUAGCGCACGGCCACUUUUUAGAUUUUGGGUGAAGAAAAAUGCGCGGAUAUCCUUGCUGAACUUAUCAACAUUAGGCCACACUGUGCACUUCUUCAGGAAUCAAAACUAAACGAAAUCAGUGAUCGGAAAUUCCAGUCCUUCCUACCUCGAUCCUUAGACCAAAAGAUCUCCCUGCCAGCUGACGGCUCGGCUGGUGGAAUCAUCUCAGCAUUUAACUCCAACCACUUCUCCCUAAUCUCGCAUACCCAUCACAACUUCUCAACGUCUAUGCGUCUCUCCUCCCUCGCUCACGCCCUGACAUUAUAUUCCCACACAACGGUCUUCUCUUUUUCUCUACAUGUCCAGUACGAUUGUGUACAAUAACCGACAUGCAUAAUAAAAACAUAGUUAGAUUAUGCAAGGCCUAAGGGGUGCAUGCAGAAAUCAAGACUGAUGGUAGAAAAUGAGAGGAUUGGUCCAAAACUAAUGAUAACAGGUAGAUUAUAGCUUCAGUUUAAAAAAUAGACGAUGGAUCAUCUACUAUUUGUUGCCCACCCAACAUGAACCACAUAGAAGACCCCAGAUGAACCUGAUAGUAGACAGAUACUUUUCGUUGCUACCUCGACAUGUGCCUGAUAGGCAUUUUAAAACUCAAGUUUGAACAUUAGUUUGGACCUGACUUGGAUUCUAAGAGGUGAAUAGGACGAUAAAGUAGUAGGUAAUAAAAACCAAUGUAUAACGUAAGCAGACACGAAAAAGUGCAACCUCUCUUCCAGAACUGUGUAGUCCUCAGGUUCAUCUGCUCAGUCGAUGAUGUUAAUGCAGUUGGCGUGGCUGCCGGAAAUAGGGAAGAUGAUCUGAGGCGGCGAAAGAAAGUCUACAGGGGGAAUCUUUGCUGCAGUGAGUGCUUCUGUCGAUGGUGCACCUCAGGUGGGGUGGAUGACGACACGGCAGGAGCAGGACAUAACACACAAAGUUUUAUUUGACACCUAUCUAAAAAUGAAGUAAAUCUAUAAGGGCUCCUUAGAAUUGGAGGAUUCUAUAAAUGCAGGGAUAGGAAAAACAUAGGAAUAGGAUAGGAAUGCAUGUGCACGACAUAGCAUUUGCAAACAUAUGAUUUCUGUCAACCUGGGUGUUUGGUUCACAUGAAUUGGAAGAACACAGGAAUGGAGAGCAUGGUCAAAUUAAAGUCAAACCAUGUGAAAAUGAAAAAAUAAGAAUCUUAUUAUGCCAGUAAUGCAAUUAGUCCUGUUCUUCAUGCAUAUCAAUUUAAAAAGGACGUACAAGUGGAUAUUAAAAUUCCUAUGUUUUUUCUUUGAAAGAGACACCAAAGGAAAAAAUCCUCCUGUUUUGCUUUGUUCCAUUCCUUCUAACCAAAUGCACGAAUACUAGUCCGUAGUAAAGUUUCCAAUUCCUAUGUUUUCCUUCACUUUUUCUUUGAACCAGUGGCGGCAGUCUUCAAUAGGGCGAAGCCUGCCCUCGAAAUAUUUUGUGAGCUUAGAUUUGGUCCACAUUAGUAUCAUAUAAUGGCUAUCUUACUAAACCGAUCAAAAUUGUGGUUCAAAAGAGCUUUUAGUUUUCUCCCUGUUAACUUUGUGACCAUGGUUCAUUUAUUUCUAGAUUUAUAACUGCUUUGAACCAAAGGAUCCCUGAGGGAUCGACAUGAAUGCAGAGUAACAAAGUGAUGCGACGAGUGUACAACCUCUUUGGCAUAGCCUUGUUGACCUUAGCAUCAUUGGGUUGGACGUGGAGGAUGGUGAUGCUGGUGUGACUGUCAGAGGCGGGGAAGAAAAUCUGAGGCCCGUGGAAAUGGCGCCCAGGGUACUGCUCCGAUGUCAUGGAUGGUUCCGUCGUUGGAGCAGCUUCGUUGAGGUGUACGACGGCGAGGCUGAAGUAGGACAUGAUAGACAACGUUAAUCUGUAGUGGGACUUUAAUAUCAUCUACAAUAGAUGACGUAAAAUACAUCACCAAAAAGUGAUAGAUGUAAAAUGCAUCAGUCGUGACACGGCUGCUCCGACAGAUGCUGUAAAUACAGUUCACUCUGAACUUAACUAAAGAAAAUGAACUUUACAGCCAAAACUGAAUUUUAAUGUCAAAACUGAUUGGACUAGUAGCGGAGCAUUGCAAUAGAAGUUUAGGGCGUUCGAGCACUAGUAGCAGAGAAGCGGCCACUCAAGCAGGGAAUGCACUAGCAGAGAGCAACUCAUGCAACAGCAUCGCGAGCGAGUGCUAAAGCAGAAACUCAUGUAGCUACCGGAGGUUGUGCAGCAGUAGUAGCAACACGAGUGAUAGUAAGAGUAGAGCAACAGGACGAACGAGAGCUAGAGCGGAGUAGCAGUGCGACUGACAUCAAUAGCAGAGCAGAUCAUCAACAUGAACGAAAGCAAGAGCAGUGCAGCAGCACGACCGAUAGCAAGAACAGAGCCAUAGCGCGAGCGAGAGCCGGAGCAGCAGCAGCUAGUGCUGGUGUCUAUGUCGCCACCGAGGAAGCAACGACAUGGGGGAGAGACACGUGGAUGAAGUGGCCGGCAACGGCGCCGUCAAUGGAGACCUUCCAUGGCUAGUCGGUAUCGAGCACCGGCAGCCCUGUGAGAUCAAAUAAAAGAUAAAAUGCAGCGGUGAGUGCAGAACCUCCUUGGUGGCGCCGAGUAUGCCUCGGCUUCAUCGGAGGAAUUGGUGAGGGUGCUGCUAUUCCGGUGGGGCAUGUCAAGACGGUGUUGUGGGGAUGGAGAUGGCGCGAUAGAUGAGGCGAACAUCGGGGCAGCUCCUUGGAGGUGGAGGACGGGGUGGCUGAUCCGACGAGACGACGAGAUCGACAACGGAUCCUCAUCCGGUGCGGUGGAUGAGGGACGGUGAGCUAUUGUGGUGGACGACGUCGUUGGGAAAGAGUCACCAGCUAGGCGGCGGUAAGGAGGCCGACGGAGGAGCGUGGAGUUUCAAGAGCUUUGGCGGCCUCGGUGUAUGAAUGGGGUUUGACCUUGCGAUAUCAAGGCGGCAUCUCCGGCUGAGGGGUAGAAGGGGGAUUUCGCAUGUUUGGGCUGCGGGACCGACUUCGGAUGAGGAGGGUGUUUUUGCGCACGUCGAAAUUUUGGGAAAACAAGGCACGGCGCCAGUUGAAGAGGCAGGAGUUUCAAAGUAGAAGAGACAAAAGAUACUCGAGCAUGGAAAUUUUGGGCUAACAAGGCGUGGAUUCCAUGUUUGGUAGAACAAACUUAACGUGUACAAAAAAACAAUUCAUACAAGACACAAGAUAGUCAUGUCCCCUUUUACUAUAUUUCUAUAAAUGCCAUUGAAAGCGGGAGAACAAGAUUACCCUGUACAAUAACAAAUCAAUUCACACUUUCCUCAACAACAAAAAAACAAAUCAAUUCCCACCACAAGAAAGAGUCAUGUCCCUUUUUACAUGAUUACAAAUGCUAGGAUCUCGAAUUUCAAUUUUUGAAUCCAUGUUAUGUUGAAUUUGAAUAUAUCGUUAGGUGACCUUGUGGUUUAUAAUGGAUGUAGUCCUACAUUUUGAUCUUCCAUCUUAUUAGAACAUCUUACUCCACCCUAUGAACAUAUAUAUUGUCAUCUAUGAUAUCGACUAAAUUUGAAUCAAUUUUCCUUAUUUGAAUAUGAUUGCUGUCAAGUUAAACCAUCAUUUAAAGAUUAUCUUGAUAACAGAAAACAUGCAUCUAGCAGUAAUCAUGUUUCACUAUGAACUACAUGUACUAUACGAUCUCUAAUUCAAAUAUUUGUAUCCAUGUUAUGUUGAAUUCAAAUCACAGUACAUUGGUCUAGGUAGCGAGAUGUUCGGGAUAAUCUAAAACCUAUUUUCAUAUGUAUAAUUUUUGGCCGAAUUGGGAAAAGUUUUGGUAUAAGCUUCUUGCAAACUGGAGAUUUUCUCAACAAGCCUCAUGGUUCCGAGAGGGAACAAUGUCACCUUUGUGUGCUAAAUGAUAUACACUGCCUCCCCCUGAUUGUCUUUACAGAGGCAACAUAGAACUAUAUGAGUGCCCUGUUAAAUUUUGGAAUUAUUCCGGUUUCGUUAGGCCUUUUUUAUACACUAGAAAAACAUGCCCGUGCGUUGCAAUGGGAGGAAAAAAAGGCAUCUUUCAUACACACAUCCGACAACAUCAGCAAACAAUAAUCUUAAAAAAAUAUUUAUUGAGACAAUUUCAAACAAUAUGAAAAUCAACUUUAAGCCACUACAUAAAACUCGUAUCAACAGUUUAAUGUGCAUCAUCGUAUAGGGGUUGGUAAUGCACUGUACAAAAUAGAGAAGACUUUUAUUAAAUGCCCCACAUAGAGAACAUAUUAACUAAGUUUACAUUUUGUUAAUUUUAUGAAUUAUUCCGGGUUCGUUUGACCUUUUUAUACAUUAAUUGAGUUCCUGGACAUUUAAUUUGCAUAAUUAAAAUUUGAACCAAAGUUGGUUGAAAAAUCGCAUGUGCGUCCUUGGGUGUAUUUCUAGGUCCUAGGAAAGAAAUGGGAAUGAAAUUCAAACAUCUGGGCGUCGUGACUCAGCCGAGAACAUUGAGAAACUUGGUUUUUAAAUUCUUGAAAUCCAAAACUCGCCUGGAAAUCAUGAAACUUGGCAUGGUGUCAUGUCAUGGCACUAACAUGUUGUGGUAAAAAACUUGGCUGAAUUGGAAUAAGUUUUGGUAUAAGCUUCUUGCAAACCGGAGCUUCUCUCAACAAGGCUCGUUGUUCUGAGAGGGAACGUGUCACCUUUGUUUACGAAGCGAUAUACGCUGCCCCCCUUUGAUUUUCUUUACAGAGGCAACAUAGAACUAUAUGAGUGUCGUGUUAAAUUUUGGGAUUAGUCCGGGUUCGUUUGGCCUUUUUAUACAUUAAUAGAGUUUCUGGUCAUUUAAUGUGCAUAAUUCAAUUUUGAACUACAAGCACAUGCUCCAGUGCACCAAUGUUGGUUGAAGAAUAACAUGUAUGUCCUCGGGUGAAUUUCUAGGUCUCAUGCAAGAAAUGAGAAUGAAAUUACAACAUCUGGGCGUCGUGGCUCGGCCGAGAACAUUGAGAAACUUGGUUUUAAAAUUCUUGUAAAUCCAAAACACGCCUGAAAAUCAUGAAACUUGGCAUGGUGUCCUGCCAUGGUACUAACAUGUUGUGGUAAAAAAUUGGGUGGGUGGAACAAAUUUUGGUAUAAGCUUCUUGCACACCGCAACUUCUCUCAACAAGGCUCAAGGUUUUGAGAGGGAACGUGUCACCUCCGUGUGCGAAACGACAUACACUGCCUUCUCCCGCCUUGAUUUUUUUACACAGGCAGCUUAGAACUAUAUGAGUGUCGUGAUUUUGGAAUUAUUGCAGGUUCGUUUGUCCUUUUUUAUACAUUAAUUGAGUUUCUGGUCAUUUAAUGUGCAUAAUUUAAAUUUGAACUACAAGCACAUGCUCAAGUGCACCAAAGUUGGUUGAAAAAUUACAUGUGUGUCCUCGGGUAAAUUUCUGGGUCCCAUGCAAUAAAAUGGAAUGAAAUUCAAACAUCUGGGGCGUCGUGGCUCGGCCAGAAACAUUGAGGAACUUGGUUUUUUAAUUCCUGUAAAUCCAAAACACGCAUGAAAAUCAUGAAACUUGGCUUGGUGUCAUGACAUGGCACCAACAUGUUGAGGUAAUUUUGCUGUUCGAUUUGCUAAGACGCACACAUUAACAAUCAACAAAGUCAUUUUGGAACAAGUGUUGUCACAUUACAAUCGGAAACACAAGUAUUAUUCAAACCAUGGGCGUUCUACUUACCAUUUACGUGUCGCCACGCGUCCCUUUUUUUAUUAGCUAGGAGGUGUCGUGCCUGGUAGCUAUUUGAGUACGGAAGGCGUGCGAUCAGACCCCUGCACGUGCUUAUCGGGAGGAGAGCCCUUUGACCUCCAUCUGAUGCCCACCUCUCUCCCAAGGUCUCCACUAAUGAUGCCUGAGCUCCUGUUUAAUGGCAUGACUAUGUCUCACUAGACUGAGAUUUAAGAGAGAAAAAAAGAAAAUUUUGCACGGAUCUUGGUGUAAGAUCCGACGGACCUAUAUAGCAUCUACUGCGACUUAUAGCAAAAUUGAUGAAUAUAUAAGGACGACGACAAUGGAUAAUAACUGUCUUACAUAAUUAGGAAGAUAAUUAAAAAUCCACAUGCGGCUACACCCGAAAUAUACAAGGGCAAAAGAAGAAGGAAGAUGCAUAGAAGGGCCAAAAUACAUAGGUCGCGGAGACUAGUUCUCGCAGCGAGCAGCGAUGAUCUCUUUCAUCAGUUUCAUGUCCUUAAUACGCUGCUUGGCAGCAUCCACAGAUUCCUUCACUAGUCUUUCAUGCUCGAUGCGGAGCAUGGGAUUCUUGUCCAUAAGUUUCUUGACGUUGACGCCCGUCCUGUUCAACACGGGAGCAGUCUUCUCCGCCUAAUUUGCCCUUUCGGCGAUCUUCACCCUCAGCAGGUCGCGCUCGGCUCGGAGCUUCACAUUGCCCUCCCAUGAUUGUCGGAUGAUGCCGGUAGCUUGUUCAAAUGAGUCUUUCAUGUCAUCCUGCAACCUCGCCCAACCGGAGAUCUAAUCCAUCUGGCUAUGGACGAUCGCAUGCAUGCGCCUAUAAGAGUCGUCGCCUGCUUGCAAGACAUUUUCCUAGGCCGCCGCGGCACGGGAGGACAUGUUUGCCGCAUUUGCGGCACGGCGGGACAUCCUGCUGCUUCCGCGGCGCGGCCAGACCAGUCUGCUGCAUUAACAGUGCGGUGGGACCUCCGUGCUGCUUCGGCGGCGCAGCGGGACCUCCGUGUUGCUUCUGCCGUGCGGCAGGACAUGUCGGCUGCUUUCGCGGUGAGGCGGGACAUCUCUCGUCCUUCUGCUUCAAUGCUCGCCUCUCCCUGGUGGUAAUCUCUCGACCCAAAACUCAUGCUGUCCACGGCAGACACAAGGGAACGAUGCUGAAUGACUUGUUUGUUUUUGUGGAUGAGGAGUUGAGGAGAAUGUGCAAUCAUCUUGGCAUGGUAGUAUUUAUAACCAAGUACUAAUACGCUCCUAAGUGGGAAACCAUUUAGGUUGUGAUCGGUUUGAAUAGGUUUGCAUUUAAAUAUAGCGUGGUAAUAAUUUGGAAUGUGACGAGAUGCAAGCUCAAAAUUUAUUGAUGGUUCUAGUUUCAAAGUGCAGCAUUAUUCCCGGAUGGCGUAACGUGGGCACAUGUUCUCGGUCGUGGUGUAGCAGUUUAGUAAUAUUCCAUGGUACUUAUUUUUCUACUGCUAUGUAUGUGCAAUAACUGGCACCAUCAGAUACAUAUCUUACGGUUAUUGGGGCGUUCAAUAGGAAUAGCCUCGUGGUGAGCUAUAGACUAGUCUUUUUUCACACGCAUUACAUCAAGACAUAUCAUCUCUCUCCAUCUUUCCCACGCACACACCUAGUCUCUCGGGACUUCUUGCACGAACCAUCUAUAUCUCCCUAGGUCGAUGCCACCCACAUACACUUGUACUCUGAGUUUAGUACGUUAUACACGAAGAUAAGAGGUGCACACACGCACUCGUCCUCUCUCACACAUGCAUCUGUAGCUAUGAAUUGUCGUGUUCUCAACCAUCCGAUUGGCUCUAUUAGGUUCCCAUUGCUCCUUGGCCUUUAGAUUGAGAAGUUUAAAACGCGGAGGCUAAGCUGGAGGCACGAGGUUUUCGUUAAUGUGCGGGCCGCACACAGCACCAACACGACAUGAGCUUCGUCUGCCUGGUGCAUAGUCGGGUGAGUUGUCAAAGUAUAGACACAACAAGGCCCUCCUUGGUAUAUGUGCCUCGACUUAUGCACAGAGAAAUUAGGAUCGGAGGGAGUAGUACUAGUAGUAGUACUACUUUGAUGUGUCGCGUCAACUCACACAAGUAUGCAACACUUCCUGAACGAACAACCAUAUAAGCUGCUUAUACUUCUUACCUAAAGGAUCUUUAUAUCUAACAGACACAAAAUAUCUGUUUGACCGUUGGAAAUUACUUUAACUACUGAUCUGAUGUUGAAGUAAUUGCUGCAUCGCCACCAAAACCGACCAUCUCUUAAGCUAAAGUAGACCAAGCUAACCGAUAUAUUAGUAUAUUACUAAGAUAAACAAAAGGCAAUGUAAAAUCAUUUAGGAGGUGAGCUUGUCAAUCUAAAUGUGGAGGGACUGUCGGAUUAAGGCCUCCGCAGACCCUAGAAAGGUUUGAACUUUGGGGCGCGUGCGAAGAACUCAAUCUGCCCCGCCUACUGACUUGCCGCUCUCACAGCCUAGCUCAACAAACAUGAAAGGAAAUAGACACAACAGUUUACCCAGGUUCGGGCCACCUUGCGUUGUAAGACCCUAUGUCAGGACCCCGAUUCUAAGUCACACCGAUCUAGCCUGUAACACCUCAUAUCACUUUGCGACCUCAUGCACGGUAUUCCCACGGGUGUCGCCUUACCAUGGCUCGGGACCGUUUGCUCCUUUUGGGUCACGUAUAUGAUAGUGUCGCUAGCAUCCAUAUGACAGAGAACCCGGGCCGACAUGACUAGUCGUGAACCCAAAGUGGCACUAACUUACGGGAACAGGCAUACAUGAAUCAACAUCGAGCAUGUCGGUCAGCAGCGUGUGAAUCCGGGCUGUAGCACUGGCUAACAGGACUCGGGGAACCCGGGCUGUAGCAGGCUAGGCAGGACUCCGGAUGUCACCGCGUGACAUUUCCCCGAAGGGACAGACACAGGAAUGAAGUGAAUCACAUGUCGGCCAGUCUAGUGUUCCGGAGCAGUAGUGCUGGGCUAGCAGGACUCCGGUGAACCGGGCUGUAGCGGACUACUAUGGCUCAUGGAAGCACAACACUACAUUUCCCCAUAAGAGAGGCUACCAAGGAUAAACAACUAGGUUGUCGGAUCCCACACAUACCAAGCAUUUCAAUCAUACACACAAUAUGCUCAAUAUGUGUAAUACAACAUGGCAUCACAACAAGACUCCACGACUCAGAGUAUUUAUUCAUUAGGCUCGGAGGAGCGAGAUAUUACAAGCAUCGGUCUCAUGACACAACAUACAGAGCAUACAAGCAACAAGCACAUGCGGAAGCUUAACAUGUCUGAGUACAGACAUCUACAAAUGAAAAAGGUUGAGAAUCCUGACUAUCUACAAGACCCUCCCAAGGAUACAAGAUCGUAGCUGAGGUAACAAGCUAAACGUCGAAGUCCACGCGGAACUACUAGCGAGACUGAAGUCUCUCUGCAAAACAUAAAUUAAGCAAACGUGAGUACAAUUGUACCCAGCAAGACUUACAUCAGAACUAACUACAUAUGCAUCGGUAUCAACAAAGAGGUGGUAGAGUUUGACUGCAGCAAGCCAGCUUUGACUCAGUGGCUAACCUGAACUACGACUGCAAGUAACUCUUUUGAGGUGGCGCACAUGAGUCCACAUAUUCACCAUAUCAAUACUCCAUAUGGAUCCGCUCCCGUCUCCCUACGAGAACGCCAUCCAUAGCACUCAUGCUUAUCUUGCGCAUUUUAGAGUAUCCACUUUCACUUAUCUAUGAACUAUGCAAGGGGUCUAAGUUUCCAUAUCCGAGGAAUCCGGCUAUUCGAAUAGAGAAUGAUAAUCCUGCAGGGGUGUACUUCUUCACACACGCUCUCGCCACUUACCACCAAGUACACGCCGUGUAUCUCGGCAACCUUCAAGCGGAAGCCUGGCGAGGGAGUCGGCCACGACCUGACUAACCAACAAGCCUCUAGUCCAGGUUUAUCGCCUAUUCGGGUUCCAUCCGCAAGGAGAUCCGGCCGAGGUGUCGCUCACGGCCCCAAACAAUGUGUACAGGGUUCCCAAGCCCACCAUCCGGGUGCCACUUGGUACACCGGGCCACAGUGCCUAGUCUAUCCCAAGCGCACCUGUACCGGGUGCCACUUGGUAGACUACUAACACUACCUACAAACACCAGAAACUAGUUGCAACUCCUGGACAGAGAUCAGGUUGAUUAAUAAGUCGAGAGGGGCACUUAAGCAUUCCAAUGUGUGGUAGUAGCUGUUCAUGGAUCACAAACACAGAAAUCAGUUCCUAAUGACGACUGCAAUGAGACAACCCACCAUGUACUCCUACAUGGCCUCUCACCGCUACCUUUACCAAAUCGUGUUCACACACUUAGCUCUCAACAGUAGGACAUGUUCACCACAUUCCAAUUCAUCCCCGAUGAAUCAGACCUAACUCAACUCUAAGCAGUAGCAGACAUGACAAACAAACAUGAAUGAGUAGGCACAUCAGGGCUCAAACAACUCCUACUCAUGCUAGUGGGUUUCAUCUAUUUACUGUGGCAAUGACAGGUCAUGCAGGGGAAAGGGGUUCAGCUACCGCAGCAUGUAACAGUUGAAACGUUGUUGUCCUAAUGCAGUAAAAGAGAGCAGGAGCGAGAGAGUGGGAUUGUAUUGGAAUGAACAAGGGGUUUUUGAUUGCCUGGCACUUCUGAAGAUAAUAUAGUUCUUCAUCGGUCUCAUCGAUCACAUCGUCGGAACCACGUCUAUCGGGGGGAAACAAUCACCAGCAACACAGAAAGAAUAUAAUCAAUGCAAUGCACAAUAUGAUGCAUGAUCAUGACAUGUCAAUAUGUUGUGAUUUGAACUAAUGCAACUAAAACCAGAAGGGUUUGAGCUAAUUUGACCCAAGGGUUCAAAUUCAAACUCAAGUUAUGAAUUUAUAAUGUGCCUUAUCAUGUUUUCAUCUAUACAGCAAGGUUAAGUUGCUUUGUCAUGCAUGAAGCCAACAUAAAUGGAUAGAUUGGAUUUUUCUGAUAAUUUGUCAUAUAUAAAUUAUUUGAUUUGGAGUUACGGUUGAAUUACUAUGAAUUUCUGAAGUUUUAGACAUUUUCUGGAAUUUCCUAAUUAUUUAAAAUCCAGAAAAUGAUUUACUGCGUCAGCAUGACAUAGCUGUGACGUCAGCAGGUCAACUGAGCUGUUCUGGGUCAAACCUGACCAGUGGGGCCCACUGGUCAGUGUAAUAGUGCUGGCUUGGGUCACUAACAGGUGGGGCCGGUCAAGGUCCACGUCAGCUCGGUCAAAGCUCACGCAUGGGUCCACUGGUUUUGCUAAUUAGCCUAAUUGUUUUGGUUAACCAGUAAACUAACAAACUGGGACCCACUGUCAGUGACUAGUGUUAACUAAUACGGUUAAUUAGUCCCUAAUCUAAUGACGGCCACAUCGGCAGCCGCCGGGGUUAGUCGUCGGUGACACACAGAUGCGGCGCAGCUUUCCAAAGUGGCGCUAGAGGCUCCGGCUUGCCGUGCUGAGGGCACCAGGGGGGAGCCCUCGCUCGCCCCCAUCCAGGGGUGCACGCAGCUGGGCGCAGGGAGGCCGGGGUCGACGGUGGCGACCACUUGGGCGGCGGCCGGAGCACGGGGUUGGCCUGGAGGGGCUGCAGUGCAUGGUAGGAGGUGCUGGUGGUGGAUUUGGCUUGCUGGGGAGCUUCUGAGAACGUUAAAGGGCUCGGACGCGGGUGACAGCAGUUGUGGUCGCGGUGGCGUCAUGGCCGGCGGCGGCGAGCUCAGGAGCUGACGAGAGGGGUAGCUACGGCACGUAUCCGAUGAGAGAAACAGAGGGGGAAAGGUAGCACGGCUCAUGGUGGUUCGACGGGGAGGCUCAGCGGGCUCGAGGAGGACCGGUAGGUGGCGAAUCGUCGAUGAAGUCCGGUGAGCAGAUGCGGCGGUGACGAGCUCGAGGGCGACGUUUCGGGGCGCCCGCGGUCGCGUGCUUCAGCAUAGAGCUCGAGGGAGACGCGGGGAACCUCCUAGACAUGGUGGUUCAGCGAGGCGGCGGCGGUGGCUGCGAGAACUGCCGUGGCCUGCUCGUGGCGGCUUCGGCAUCGGGGGGAAGAAGCGGUGGGACGAGGGGAAAGUGAGCAGAGAGGGAUGGCUCGAUGCAGACGGCAGCGGCGAAGUCGCCCGCGUCGUCGACGUGUCUCAGGAGGCAGCCAUGCACCUGCUACAUGGCGUGUGGUGAGCGCGCAUGCAUCGAGAAGACGCGCCCUGUCUACUGGCGCGGUGGAGAAGAUGAUGGGAGGUGGGCUGCAUAGUAGUGGGCCGGCUAAAUGGGCUGCGGCAAGUUAGGUGGGUUUCUUUCCCUCUCCGCCUUUCUACUUUUGUUUCUGUUUUCUAUUUAUUUUGAUUUGUUUUGAAUUAGUAAAAAUACUAACUCAUUUUGUAAAAUCCUGACAAAAUUGUGGGCACUAUUUGAAUUAUUUCCAACAGCCCCCAAUUGUUUUCAAAAGUAUUGAAGCAUUUAAAAUAUUUAUAGGCAUUAAAUGCUCCAAUUGAAAUACAAUAUAAUUUAACUCAAAAAUCCAUAAAUGUCCAAGAAAUAUGCUCAUCAUUUUUGGCAGAGGUUUUCACCUUUAUCAAAAACCACGAACAUUUUCAAAGGGCAUUUUGGGUUUAUUGAAAAUGAUUUUAUGUUGAACCUAUUUGAUUUGAUCUGGUGCUAGGGUUUGAACAGUCCCCAAUUCAAAUUCAUUGAAAUUUAAACAUGAUGCUCACAUGAAAGGCUAGCCUAGUGCAUACCAGAACUAGGGAUGUGACACCCUACUCCUGCUUUCAUGUGGAUUUGCCUCGCGAGGGGCUGAGGAUGAACUAGUAUAGAGGAAGAACAACCUCAGGAGGUCAGUUCUUCUUUUGCUGUGAGCUAGUGAGGGUUCGGAUUCUCUCUCCUCCUAUGGUGGUGGCUACCCUAUAUUUAUGGUGGCCUCAGUCCUCUUCCUCCAAAACAAAGGCGGGAAGGGAUCCCACAAUGACCAAAUUUGAAGGGGGACAAGUAGUACAUCUUAUCCUGACGAAAGGUGGUCUUCACCUGCAAAGUUUCUGCUCAUGACGCCACGGUGGGCUUGGUGAUGACAUCCGUCCUGCCGGCCUAGCGGUCUUGGUCUUGUAGCACGGGAAUGGAAACCAUUGGCUGAUUCCUCGGGACUCCGUGCGUGGCUUGCCUCCUUAGCACCAAAGAGGAAACCUGCUGCUCUGCGUCCGCAUGGCCUUAGUCGUCACGGCUUGCAUCAUCCGGGCCUCAUGGGAUGGGCGCUUGCAUUGUAAUCUCCGCUCCUUAGGAGCCAGCCUGACAAGGCCACUCCCUCUAGAGGUCUUGGGGUCGUUCGGCUCGCGAGGGUCUUUUCUUGCCGAUGCUGAAGAUGGGUCGUACCAGGCCGUUGAUGGAGCCACGCCGUGUGCCGCGGGCAGGCAAGUCUGGGUACCCUGGUUCCCAGAACACCGAUAGUAGCCCCUAGGCCCAAGGCAUGCUCACACUUGGCUUCAAGGUGAAUCCAAAGGGCAAGGGCGAAGCGCUAGGGGCCCCAAUUGCCUGCGGACCGAGUCGACGUGUGGCGCUUGAUGGGACAUGGGCGCCCAAACUUCGCUACACUGCCUCGGCAACCGUCCUAGGGUGACAAAAAGACUGGCGCUUGCCGCUGAGCCUUCAUUUCCUUCUCUUCAUCUUGUUCCAGAUCUCCUUUCCACUCCACCAAGAGUGCCUCUAGAUCCGCCGAAUCUUUUCCUCGAACUCUUCGGUGAUGGUGACCAAGAAGGAGAAGCCCACCACUCCGGCCAUGCAAUCUGCCUCCUCGCCCGUGCCGGCCCUCAGCAUGUCCUCCAUCACCGAGGCGGCGCACCUUGCCGACGUGCUCCCGCUGACGGUGAGCUGCCAGGACUCCGAUUCCAAGUCACAUCGAUCUAGCCGGUAACACCUCAUAUCACUUUGCGGCCUCAAGCACGAUAUUCCCACGGGUGUCGCCUUACCAUGGCCUGGGACCGUUUGCGCCUUUUGGCUCACGUAUAUGAUAGUGUCGCUAGCAUCCAUAUGACAAAGAACCCGGGCCGACAUGGCUAGUCAUGAACCCAAAGCGGCACCAACCUAUGGGGACAUGCAUACAUGAAACACAUCGAGCAUGUUGGUCAGCAGCAUGUGAAUCCGGGCUGUAGCACUGGGCUAACAGGACUCCGGGAACCCGGGCUGUAGCAGGCUAGGCAGGACUCCGGAUGUCACCGCGUGACAUUUCCCCGAAGGGACAGGCACAAGAAUGAAGUGAAACACAUGCCGGCCAGUCAAGUGUCUUGAGCAGUAGUGCUGGGCUAGCAGGACUCCGGUGAACCGGACUGUAGCGGACUACUAUGGCUCAUGGAAGCACAAGACUACAUUUCCCCAUGAGAGAGGCUACCAAGGAUAAACAACUAGGUUGUCGGAUCCCACACAUACCAAGCAUUUCAAUCAUACACACAAUAUGCUCGACAUGUGUAAAUACAACAUGGCAUCACAACAUAACUCUACCACUCAAGUAAUUAUUCAUUAGGCUCCGAGGAGCGAGAUAUUACACACAUGGGUCUCAUGACCCAACAUAUAGAGCAUACAAGCAACAAGCACAUGCAGAAGCUUGACUACAAAUGAAGAAGGCUGAGAAGCCUAACUAUCUACCAGAUCCUGCCGAGAGCACAAGAUCGUAGCUAAGUUAUCAAGCUAAACGUCGAAGUCCACACGGAACUACUAGCGACACUGAAGUCUCUCUGCAAAAACAUAAAUUAAGAAAAUGUGAGUACAAAUGUACCCAAGAAGACUUACAUCAGAACUAGCUACAAAUGCAUCAGUAUCAAGAAAGGGGUGGUGGAGUUUAACUACAGCAAGCCAGCUUUGACUCGGUGGCUAUCCUGAACUACGACUGCAAAUAACUCUUUGAUGUGGCGCACACGAGUCCACAUAUUCACCAUAUCAAUACACCACUAUGGAUCCGCUCCCGUCUCCCUACGAGAACGGCAUCCAUAGCACUCACGCUUAUCUUGCGCAUUUUAGAGUAUCCACUUUCACUUGUCUAUGAACUAUGCAAGGGGUCCAAGUUUCCAUAUCCGAGGAAUCCGGCUAUUCGAAUAGAUAAUGAUAACCCUGCUGGGGUGUACUUCUUCACACAUGCUCUCGCCACUUACCACCAUGUACACAUCGUGUAUCUCGACAACCUUCAAGCGGAAGCCUGGCGAGGGAGUCAGCCAUGACCUGACUAACCAACAAGUCUCUAGUCCAUGUUUAUCGCCUAUUCGGGUUCCAUCCGCAAGGAGAUCCGGCCGGGGUGUCGCUCACGGCCCCAAACAAUGUGAGCAGGGUUCCCAAGUCCACCAUCCGGGUGCCACUUGGUACACCGUGCCACUAUGCCUAGUCUGUCCCAAGCCCACCUGUACCGGGUGCCACUUGGUAGACUACUAACACAACCUACAAACACCAGAAACUAGUUGCAACUCCUGGACAGAGAUCAGGUUGAUUAAUAAGUCGAGCGGGGCACUUAAGCAUUCCAAUGUGUGGUAGUAGCUGUUCAUGGACCACAGACACAAAACUCAGAUCCGAAGGACGACUUCAAUGAGACAACCCACCAUGUACUCCUACAGGGCUUCUCACCGAUACCUUUACCAAAUCGUGUUCACACGCUUAGCUCACGACAGUAGGACAUGUUCUCACACCUCUAAUUCAUCCCCGAUGAAUCAGACCUGACUCAACUCUAAGCAAUAGCAGGCAUGACAAACAAGCAUGAAUGAGUAGGCACAUCACGGCUCAAACAACUCCUACUCAUGCUAGUGGGUUUCAUCUAUUUACUGUGGCAAUGACAGGUCAUGCAGAGGAAAGGGGUUCAACUACCGCAACAUGUAACAGAUGAAAUGUUGUUGUCCUAAUGCAGUAAAAGAGAGCAGGAGCGAGAGAGUGGGAUUGUAUCGGAAUGAACAAGGGGUUUUGCUUGCCUGGCACUUCUGAAGAUGUUAGCUCUUCAUUGGUGUCAUCGAACUCAUCGUCGGAAUAUGCCUACCGAGAGGGGACAAGCACCGGCAAUAGAGAAGAAAACAAUUAAUGCAAAUGCGACAAUAUGAUGCAUGAUCGUGGCAUGUAUAUGUGAUGCUGUUUGUGCUAAUGCAAACAACAACAAGUUAAUGGAGCUCAUUUGAAUCAAGGAUUCAAAUGUAACUCCAAACUUAAGCAUUUUAAAUGCCCUCUAUGUGUUUUCAUCUAUACAGCAGGUUUAGGUUGGUUUUUCAUGCAUGAAACUAGUACAGAUGGAUAGAUUGAAUUUUUAUGAUAAUUUUUCAUAUAUAAUUUGUUAGAUUUGGAGUUACGGUUGAAUUACUAUGAAUUUUGAAGUUUUGGAUAUUUUUUGCAAUUUUCUGAAUUAUUUUAAAUCCAGAAAAUGUUAACUGCGUCAGCAUUGCGUCACUGUGACGUCAGCUGGUCAACUCGGCGCCUCCAGGUCAAACCUGACCAGUAGGGCCCACUAGUGAGUGACACAUAGUCAGCUACAGAGGCUGACAUGUGGGACCCGAUCAAAGCUGACGUGGCCAAGUCAAAGUUGACAAGCGGGGCCCAAUGAAAUUAGUGCUAAUCUAACAGAGAGUUAAACUAAUUAGUUUAGGCACUGGGCCCACAUGUAAGUGGGUCAGGAGGUCAAUUAGUGAGUGAUUAGUGCUAACUAAGUGGCCACGUCGACAGUCGCCAGAGUCUUGCCUGCGGUGACCUCGAAUCGUGGUGGAGUUUGCUCGGAACUCACCAGAUGUGAUGGAUCGACGCGCGAGGGGCACCAGAGGAUAGCCCGUGCUCGUGCGCAUCUAGGGGGACCAACGGGAGGUGCGGGGGUGGCCGGAGUUCGCUGCAGUGGAACCCGCGGCGGCUGCCGGAGUUCGGGGUUGGUGUGGGUUAGCGCAGUGGUGUGCUAACGAGCGAGGCAAAGGUCUAGCAGGGCACUACGUGUUGCGGGGAGCAAGUAGGACUCGCCGGGGUGACCAUUUGGUCACCGGAGCUGCGCCGACGACGAGCUCAAGCAGCGGCGGCUACGGUCGUCAAGCGGGCGAUGUCUACAGCUCAAAAUCAAAGGGGAGGAAGGUGGGCAUCCACGCAGGAGCUCACAGCGGUUCGUUCGGUGGCCCUAGCGAGCUCGGGGAAGCGCCGAAGCAGGCGCAUGGUUGCCGGCGAUCUCGGUGGCCCGAGGUUGAAGAAGACGCUGGUGAGGGCGUCCGGCGUCGCUUGGCUUGGCGAGGAGGUCAAGGACGAAGUAGCCGAGCUACUGGGCACGUCGAGGGGUCAAGGGGGAGGCUCUGGGUGCAGCAAUGGUGAGUGGUGGCGACGAGCUCCGCUCGGUGGUGCUCGGGAGAGAGGGGCAGACGAGGGAGAGACACAGGAGAGAGGGGGGAAGUGACCAGGGGUUGCAUGGCAUGUUCAGGGCGUCGAGGGAGUGAAGCAGGAAGGGUGGAGGUGGCCUAGGCGUGGCCAGGAGGCGGCGAGCACGCGCCCUGUCCUUCUGUCCAAGGAGGAAGACGACAGGGGGCCGCGGUGGUGGGCUGGGCCGCCAGCUACAGUACUGGUGCCUGUUGGUGGGCGCCAGGUAAGCUUCUGCCAGGUAAGUCCGUCUCUCUCUUCCUAUUUUUCUUUCUGUUUUCUAUUUAUUUUGCUCUGUUUUGAUUUAGUAAUAAAACUAAACCAUUUUUGUUGCUUCUGAAAUUAUUUGUGGAUGCAAUAUGGACUAGCCCAAAGCCCCACAAUAUUUUUCAGAAUGAUUGGAGUUAUAAAAGUAUUUAUAGGAAUUUAUAACCCCAAGUCAAAUACAAUAUGAGUUAAUUCAAAAAUCCAAAAAUGUCCUAGAAAUAUAUUCAUCAUUUUUGGCAGAGGUUUCUACCUUAACCAAAAAUCAUGAACUUUUCUUGAGGCACUUUGGGUUCAUUGAAAAUGUUUUUAAGUUGAACCUAGUUGAGUUCUUUUGGUGCUAGGGAUUGAUCACCCCUAUUUCAAAUUUAGAUAAAAUUUAAACAUGAUGCAACACCAGAUGCUAGCACUAGGCACCACCAGAACUAGGGUUGUGACAACUCACCCCCACUAAACAAGAAUCUCGCCCCGAGAUUCAAGACAUGAGGUAAGGAGACAGAGGGAACACAAAGCUGAUACAAUCUUCAUGACCCAUACUUCAUAUUGAUCUUGACGUCUUCGCUUUCGAGAUCUUCAUCCAGCACGACGAUGACAGAAAGAGACUCUAUAGGAAUCGAUCUUCUCGAAGAUCGAACAACUGACGAUCAACUAAUGGAAUGAGGCAUAACAAUAUCUCUCGAGUUGAGACGCAAAACACCCAUCAUAAGCAAUGGAAACAAACUGAUGACAAGGGUUCAAUUUGGUAGGCAACAAUCCCAUGCCCGGUCACGACGUAGCGGGGGGUUAGCUGCCAUGCUUCCAUUGCGGGGCACCUUAGGGAAGGUGACUCGUAGAGCUAUUCCCUUAGGUGGCAAAAAGAAUUACUUUUGAUACAAAGAUCAUUGAAGCUCUUUAUACCAGCCUAAGGCAAUCACAAUCGAUCAUUUGACGGAGUUCGGGAGAGCCACAAACUCGGGCUAGAAUGGAUGAUGUGAACUACCUUGUUGAAGACAACGCAAGGGAUGAUUUUGCUUGCGUGUGCUCUCAAGAACUUGAGCAUUUCCAUAUUGAUCAAGGUUCUACCAACAUCCGAGUCGAGGAUCCUGGCAACACAUCUUACUAGCAUGAUGAAUAGUGAUGGACGAUGCAAAUGCAAAGGAAGACAACACCUUCUUAGAUUUUACCUUAGCAAUGCCAAGAAGACAAAACCUGGAUGAUCGACCGAGCAUCUAGCACUCUACUUCUAAUGUUUCCUUGAUGUGCUAGCGUAAUCCAUUCAUAGAUAUGGUUUGAUAUAUAGAACAUCAAGUAAAAGGUCGGACUUCAGGAACACAAAAAUCCAUGAGGAACAACUAUUGGAAUAAAUUCUACGAGAUCCUUAUGGGAAGGUGGCCAACUUUCUCAAUCAAGAUACUACAACAACAAGUCUUCCAGUUGUGUGUGUUGGCCACAACAUCCACUUUACCGGGUUACAGAGAGACCAAUAUUAUAGUUCUUGAGAAACGUUCCAACCAUCAUAUCUGCCGAGAUUCAGAUCUGGUUGGUGUCAGGAUAAUCUAGACUCAUCUAGUCUGGAAAGAAAAAUGAAAGUUUGCAACACAAAUUGACGAGAUGACAUUGCGAGACUCUUGGGGGAAUGAACUAUGGUAGUAAGCUCCAAAACAUGAGCCGGUUCUGCUACAAGCAUGUGAACACGCUGUCCUAGACAAGCAUGGUCACCUGGUAGUCUCACAAUGAAACAGUACCGAGUUCAGGGGGAACCAUCAACAAGGAUAUCAAAGUCCUUGCAUAAGUCUAGCUCUUAAGAAGAAACUUCGUCUCCUUGAACAAAUCAAUCAGUGGCUUGGUGUGCUAGGGACACAUAUGGGAUGGAGGUAGCGAGCCUGUGAACCCAUAGCAUACUUCGCACAUGCAUGACUGACUUGGGAUGGUACUAGAGGAAACAAAACCAAUCUUUCUCGAACUCACGGCGGCAACUUGCACCAAAUGCACGUGAACCAAAGAAAGUCAUUUCUUUCAUCCAAUAUAUGCUUCAUGAGCGGAACAUCAAGAUAAUGCUCUUUAGAAGUUUCCAACACUAGCUGGAUGUUCAACAUGAAUCAUGGAGAUGAUGAAAAUGUUGUCAAUGGGCUCAACAACAAUUUAUCAAAAUUUCCAUAUAGAUGGAAUCCCAUAACUAUGUGAACAAAGUAAUAGCAUUGGUCAGACCCAAAAGAUAUAAUGGUGUAUGCUCGACAACCGCGAGUAAGACAACAUGACGAACAUCGUUGCUUCUGAUUUGAUUUGAGAAUAACCCACACUCAAAUCAAAGUUUGGACAAGACAAUAGAUCCAAAAACUUAUCACGAGGACCAAUUGAUGAAGAUACCGUCUUUCUUCAACUAACACACACAAACACAAGGAUAUCUCUUUGGAAACGAACUAAGUUAGGCAAGCUUUUAUCUUCCAACUCUCCAAGUUGUUGUUUAGCUUAACCGACUAGCUCAGGGGUAUCCAACACAGAUCCUUGGAGAAGGAGUGGUUUACAAGAAACCAACUUGAUCACGAACUCAACAUAGCGGUCAGGUGACAACCUGGUAACACUUCCGAGAAGAUAUUCAGAAAUUCACGAACCACCGAUAUGUUACUAAGAUCGAGAGCAAUCUUGCUUUGCAAGGCAAGACGAUGUGAUCAAUAGAGCAAGGGUUUGACACAAUCCUAACUCAUUGAUCGAAUAGUGCUCCGUAAAUAAGGACUAGGUAGCACGAUCAAUCCUAGAAUGAUAAUUCAAUAACCAACACUCUAAGAAUGAGUUUAUUGUCGAUUAACUACCAAGCAAUGGGGUUGCUAGGAGUAUUGAUUUCACACAUCACGAUUCACUUGUCGGUGUUCCGGUUACAAUAACAUGGGGACCAAGGAAUGAAUAAUGAUGGCAAGAAGUAUCACUUUAUCAAGAGUUCAUAGGAUGGUGGGCAAUUUCUAUGACAUUCUUGAUAUAAAGAUGGUAAUACUCCAAGGUAGAACAGAACCAAAAGCUAGAUUGGCAUUUGAUUUGCGGAUUACAACUGCUUUGACCCAAUCCUGUAUAUGGAUGAGGUACUGGAGUUUGUUUCUCCUAGUCAUUCUAGAAUAGAAUGGCUUGACGAACCACAAGAGUAAUAGGCAUCAAUAACACGAGUGCACGACUACUCCUGACUAUCAAUUGAUAGAUGAAGGUCGGAAUAUAACUGAAGGGGGACAACUCAAAGGAACAUAUAACUUUCUGAGUUGUGGAUGCAUAGAUUAGUAUGUCGAACGUGUUCAACAUAUUUCUUCCGGAUAACCCAUGCAAAAAGGUAGAACUGGCAGAAUCACAAUUAUUGAUGGAGAACUCCUCAGGAGUACUCUAAUGUUGAUCUUUUGGUUCAAAGAACUUCUGCCUUAAUGGUUCAUGGUAUUUGGAAGAAGGAAAUACCACAGACCUCGAGGACUAUCGCAAAGGUUACUAAUAUCCUAAAGGAACUAGCAACAAUAUCAACAGGAAGUGAAUAGAGUGAUUCUUGGGUCAAGAACACAGGAGUAGAACACCUACUACUAAAUGGCAUCAUAGGAUGCUUUCAAGAAUGAUGGCCAGAAUCAUCACACUUGGGAUACGGAAGCAUUGCUAAAUUCUCGAGGACACCUAGGGUCAUAGUACCAACUCCAACAUACACAUCAAGGCAACAAAGUACCUCAACACACCGAUUAGUGUGCUUAAUCUGGCCCAAAAAUACAACGGAAACAUGGAGGAAAGAUUUGCAAGUGCAUCAGACUAUUUAGAAACCUGGGAUGACUCGAAUAGCAUAACAGCUGUAAAUGCUCAAAAUGAUUUGAGACAUCCUGCAAAAUGGUGGCAUAACCACUCAACAUCACAAUAUCAAGGUUCUGAGGCCAGCUAUGAACAUAUGGAAGUAGUAGGAACUAAUCUGAGGCUUGAACUCAACAAUCCUAGGCAACUACGGUUUAGUAACACGUCAUCCUGAGAGAUAGAAGAGAAGCCUAGUUCUUAACCCCAUAGAAAAGAUAAGAUGACUCAGAUCAGAAGGUCGUGAGGACAAGGAGUAAAAAGAGCCUUACGUUCCCAUCCACAAUCAAUUCCCUUAUAUAGCUAAAGCAUUUCUAGACACGACUUCGACCAUCUUGGCAUGGUAAUCCUACAGCCAGUCAGGCUCUGAUACCAAAGCUGUCAGGAUCCCGAUUCCAAGUCACAUCGAUCUAGCCGGUAACACCUCAUUUCACUUUGCGGCCUCACGCACGGUAUUCCCACGUGUGUCGCCUUACCAUGGCUCGGGACCGUUUGCGCCUUUUGGCACGUAUAUGAUAGUGUCGCUAGCAUCCAUAUGACAGAGAACCCGGGCCGAGAUGGCUAGUCGUGAACCCAAAGAGACACCAACCUAUGGGGACAGCCAUACAUGACUCACAUCGAGCAUGUCGGUCAACAGCGUGUGAAUCCAGGCUGUAGCAUUGGGCUAACAGGACUCCGGGAACCUGGGCUAUAGCAGGCUAGGCAGGACUCCGGAUGUCACCGCGUGACAUUUCCCCGAAGGGACAGACACAUGAACGAAGUGAAACACAUGCCGGCCAGUCAAGUGUCCUGAGCAGUAGUGCUGGGCUAGCAGGACUCCGGUGAACCGGGCUGUAGCGGACUACUAUGGCUCAUGGAAGCACAAGACUACAUUUCCCCAUAAGAGAGGCUACCAAGGAUAAACAACUAGGUUGUCGGAUCCCACACAUACCAAGCAUUUCAAUCAUACACACAAUAUGCUCGUGAUGUGUAAAUACAACAUGGCAUCACAACAUAGCUCUACGACUCAAGUAAUUAUUCAUUAGGCUCCGAGGAGCGAGAUAUUACAAACAUGGGUCUCAUGACCCAACAUGCAGAGCAUACAAGCAACAAGCACAUGCGGAAGCUUAACUUGUCUAAGUACAGACAACUACAAAUGAAGAAGGCUGAGAACCUGACUAUCUACCAGAUCCUGCCAAGGGCACAAGAUCGUAGCUGAGGUAUCAAGCUAAACAUCGAAGUCCACAUGGAACUACUAGCGAGACUGAAGUCUCUCUGCAAAAACAUAAAUUAAGCAAACGUGAGUACAAAUGUACCCAACAAGACUUUCAUCAGAACUAGCUACAAAUGCAUCAGUAUCAAGAAAGGGGUGGUGGAGUUUAACUGCAGCAAGCCAGCUUUGAUUCGGUGGCUAUCCUGAACUACGACUGCAAAUAACUCUUUGAGGUGGCGCACACGAGUCCACAUAUUCACCAUAUCAAUACACCACUAUGGAUCCGCUCCCGUCUCCCUACGAGAAUGCCAUCCAUAGCACUCCCGCUUAUCUUGCGCAUUUUAGAGUAUCCACUUUCACUUGUCUAUGAACUAUGCAAGGGGUCCAAGUUUCCAUAUCCGAGGAAUCCGGCUAUUCGAAUAGAUAAUGAUAACCCUACAGGGGUGUACUUCUUCACACACGCUCUCGCCACUUACCACCAUGUACACAUCGUGUAUCUCGGCAACCUUCAAGCGGAAGCCUGGCGAUGGAGUCGGCCACGACCUGACUAACCAACAAGUCUCUAGUCCUGGUUUAUCGCCUAUUUGGGUUCCAUCCGCAAGGAGAUCUGGCUGGGGUGUCUCUCACGGCCCCAAACGAUGUCAGCAGGGUUCCCAAGCCCACCAUCCGGGUGCCACUUGCUACACCGUGCCGCUAUGCCUAGUCUGUCCCAAGCCCACCUGUACCGGGUGCCACUUGGUAGACUACUAACACAACCUACAAACACCAGAAACUAGUUGCAACUCCUGGACAGAGAUCAAGUUGAUUAAUAAGUCGAGAGGGGCACUUAAGCAUUCCAAUGCGUGGUUGUAUCUUUUCAUGGAUCACAAACACAGAACUCAGAUCCUAAGGACGGCUUCAAUGAGACAACCCACCAUGUACUCCUACAUGGCUCUCAACGAUACCUUUACCAAAUCGGGUUCACAAGCUUAGCUCACAACAGUAGGACAUGUUCUCACACCUCUAAUUCAUCCCCGAUGAAUAAGCCCUGACUCAACUCUAAGCAAUAGCAGGCAUGACAAACAAGCAUGAAUGAGUAGGCGCAUCAGGGCUCAAACAAGUCCUACUCAUGCUAGUGGGUUUCAUCUAUUUACUGUGGCAAUGACAGGUCAUGCAGAGGAAAGGGGUUCAACUACCGCAACAUGUAACAGAUGAAACGUUGUUGUCCUAAUGCAGUAAAAGAGAGCAGGAGCGAGAGAGUGGGAUUGUAUCGGAAUGAACAAGGGGUUUUGCUUGCCUGGCACUUCUGAAGAAGUUAGCUCUUCAUCGGUGUCAUCGAACUCAUCGUCGGAAUACGCCUACCGAGAGGGGACAAGCACCGGCAAUAGAGAAGAACACAAUCAAUGCAAAUGCGACAAUAUGAUGCAUGAUCAUGGCAUGUAUAUGUGAUGUUGUUUGUGCCAAUGCAAACAACAAGAAGUUCAAUGGAGCUCAUUUGAAUCAAGGAUUCAAAUGUAACUCCAAACUUACGCAUUUUAAAUGCCCUCUAUGUGUUUUCAUCUAUACAUCAGGUUUAGGUUGGUUUUUCAUGCAUGAAACUAGUACAGAUGGAUAGAUUGAAUUUUUCUGAUAAUUUUUCAUAUAUAAUUUGUUUGAUUUGGAGUUACGGUUGAAUUAUUAUGAAUUUUUGAAGUUUUGGAUAUUUUCUGCAAUUUUCUGAAUUAUUUUAAAUCCAGAAAAUGUUAAGUGCGUCAGCAUUGCGUCACUGUGACAUCAGGUGGUCAACUGGGCGCCUCCAGGUCAAACCUGACCAGUAGGGCCCACUAGUUAGUGACACAUAGUUAGCUACAGAGGCUGACAUGUGGGACCCGGUCAAAGCUGACGUGGCCAAGUCAAAUUUGACAAGAGGGGCCCACUGAAAUUAGUGCUAAUCUAACAGAGAGUUAAACUAAUUAGUUUAGGCACUGGGCCCACAUGUAAGUGGGUCAGGAGCUCAAUUAGUGAGUGAUUAGUGCUUACUAAGUGGCCACGUCAAUAGUCGCCAGAGUCUCGCCGAUGGUGACCUCGAAUCGAGGCGGAGUUUGCUCGGAACUCACCAGAGGCGAUGGAUCGACGCGCCAGGGGCACCAGAGGAUAGCCCGUGCCCGUGCGCAUCUAGGGAGACCAACGGGAGGUGUGGGGGUGGCCGGAGUUCGCCGGAGUGGAACCCGCGGCGGCUGCCGGAGUUCGGGGCUGGUGCAGGUUAGCACUGCGGUGUGCUAACGAGCGAGGCGAAGGUCUAGCGGGGCACUACGCGUUGCGGGGAGCAAGUUGGACUCGCCGAGGUGAUCAUUUGGUCACCGGAGCUGCGCCGACGACGAGCUCAAGCGGCGGCGGCUACGAUCGUUAAGGGGGAGACAUCUACGGCUCGAAAUCAAAGGGGAGGAAGGAGGGGAUCCACGCAGGAGCUCACAGCGGUUCGUUCGGUGGCCUCAGCGAGCUCGGGGAAGCGCCGAAGCGGGCGCACAGUCGCCGGCGAUCUCGGUGGCCCGAGGUUGAAGAAGACGCCGGUGAGGGCGUCCGGCGGCGUCCGGCGUCGCUUGCCUUGGCGAGGAGGUCGAGGACUAGGUAGCCGAGCUAUUGGGCAUGUCGAGGGGUCGAAGGGGAGGCUCUGGGUGCGGCGACGGUGAGCGGUGGCGACGAGCUUCGCUCGGUGGUGCUCGGGAGAGAGGGGAAGACGAGGGAGAGACACGGGAGAGAGGGGGGAAGUGACCAGGGGUUGCGUGGCAUGUUCAAGGCGUCGAGGGAGUGAAGCAGGCAGGAUGGAGGUGGCCUACGCGUGGCCAGGAGGCGGCAAGCACGCGCCCCUGUCCUUCUGUCCAAGGAGGAAGACGACAGGGGGCAGCGGUGGUGGGCUGGGCCGCCAGCUACAGUACUGGUGCCUGUUGGUGGGCGCCAGGUAAGCUUCUGCCAGGUAAGUCCUUCUCUCUCUUCCUAUUUUUCUUUCUGUUUUCUAUUUAUUUUGCUCUGUUUUGAUUUAGUAAUAAAACUAAAACAUUUUUGUUGCUUCUGAAAUUAUUUGUGGAUGCAAUAUGGACUAGCCCAAAGCCCCACAAUAUUUUUCAGAAUGAUAGGAGUUAUAAAAGUAUUUAUAGGAAUUUAUAACCCCAAGUCAAAUACAAUAUGAGUUAAUUCAAAAAUCCAAAAAUGUCCUAGAAAUAUAUUCAUCAUUUUUGGCAGAGGUUUCUACCUUAACCAAAAAUCAUGAACUUUUCUUGAGGCACUUUGGGUUCAUUGAAAAUGUUUUUAAGUUGAACCUAGUUGAGUUCUUUUGGUGCUAGGGAUUGAUCACCCCUAUUUCAAAUUUAGAUAAAAUUUAAGCAUGAUGCAACACCAUAUGCUAGCACUAGGCACCACCAGAACUAGGGUUGUGACAUGAGCGGUGACAACAAGGGGAGGGAGGCAGAGCUUCGGGAUGGUUCCACCAAUUGGGAGACCUUGGCGGGGACAUUCUAUCCCUUCUUCAUCCACAGCGUCUUCGCGGGGCUCGUCCCACCCUUCUCAAGGUUCUUCCUCGCUGUCCUCGACCAUUAUCAGAUCCAUGCUCUACAGCUCCAGCCCAACUCCAUCCUCCUUCUAUCAAUCUUCGCCUUCUACUACGAGGCGUUCGUGGGCAUGACGCCCUCCGUUGCGCUGCUCCUCCACUUUUUCUCCCUUUGGAUACAUGACUUGACCUAGCGCUCCGGAUGCGUCUCCUUCGUCGCACCCCGCGGCGGCAACGCACUCAUGAGGGCCGGGAAGAAGGUGGAGGAAUUCCGGCGCAAAUGGAAUUACAUCAACGCCAGGGGCCUCCACGCUCGGCUGGAGCUACCGACCAGGAUGCCGGAGAAGCUGGACCAGUGGGCCCAUGAGGAGCUCAGUGACCCUCGGGCAGCGCCCGUCCUGAGGCUGUUGCAGGCGAACAUGGACUCUAGGGUGCUGACGAGGGCCAUGAUUGCCAGGGAGUUCCUGACGCUGUGCCUGGCCCCGCUCCAAGCACAUCCGCGCCCCNNNNNNNNNNNNNNNNNNNNNNNNNNNNNNNNNNNNNNNNNNNNNNNNNNNNNNNNNNNNNNNNNNNNNNNNNNNNNNNNNNNNNNNNNNNNNNNNNNNNNNNNNNNNNNNNNNNNNNNNNNNNNNNNNNNNNNNNNNNNNNNNNNNNNNNNNNNNNNNNNNNNNNNNNNNNNNNNNNNNNNNNNNNNNNNNNNNNNNNNNNNNNNNNNNNNNNNNNNNNNNNNNNNNNNNNNNNNNNNNNNNNNNNNNNNNNNNNNNNNNNNNNNNNNNNNNNNNNNNNNNNNNNNNNNNNNNNNNNNNNNNNNNNNNNNNNNNNNNNNNNNNNNNNNNNNNNNNNNNNNNNNNNNNNNCCGGGCAGCCUACCUUUCAUUGUACCGCCACGGCGACAGGGUAGAGGUGGCCGCCGCCAUGCAUGUCUUCAACGAGUUGGGGCUUGUGCCGCCCAAGCUCCCCAACUCCCCGGUGCCUGUGUCCUCCAGCGAGGUCUACAAGGAGAAGGGCGAGGAGGACUCAGAGGCGACCAUGGAAGAGGUUGGGGAGACUUCUCCUGUCAGGACUGGGUUUUCGGGAUAUUAAUUUCCUAGAAAAUGGCCCUUGUGAUCACCAGCCCCAGGAUUACGGUUAGCUGAUGAGACACCAACUUGAUACAGAAAUUCCAAGCAAAAUACAAAAUGUGUAGUACAAGACCAUUCUGGCCUGUGAGUAUAACAAAUGGUUUCUAGUAGUUGAUGGCGGAAGCGGUUUGUGGUUCAUCAGCGUCUAUGGGACUCCAUUUCCCACAGGAACAGCUGACCUGGAUAACUCCUAUCUUCGCGAGGCUGCUAUCACCAUUGCAUAGGUUCUGGGGCUGUCAUCGCAUCGCUCCUCUACAUGCAAGAAAUCUGGCCAAGACAAUAGCCAGGGACAAGCCAGUGAGUACUUUGAGUGUACUCGCAAACAUUAUGAACACAUGUAUAAUAUAACAAAUGUUAAUCAUGCUCUGAAAUAUUUUAUGAUCACAAUGUCAGUCCCAAAAUGAAAAUCCAUGAUGCAAGCAGGUUAUUCAUAUACAACUUAAUAUGCAAUAAGGGAGUAGAAAUAGAAUGCACCGAUCGGCUGUCUCAAGCGACGCCUCGAAAGGAUAAUAAUAUAAAGCAUGCCUUAGUCAGGCGUCUGAGCGACACCACAUAAAGGGCUUAUAAAGGAAAUAAGCAGCAAACAUGCCACAGUCGGGCGUCUGUGCGACACCACAUAAAGGGCUUAUAGAGUAAGAAAAUAACAAGCAUGCCACAGUCGGGCAUCUCAGCGACACCACACAAAGGGCUUAUAUGAGAGUAGUCACUGUGAAUAUCCAGGAGGUAGGACCGUCCCAGGGAUACUCAAUAAUUCAAAUAUUGUAAAUGGUUAGUCCAUAAUAAUAGUAAUCAUAAUCAUCAUAAGUCACAAGUCAUGAUCCAUGCUCUGAUUUAGCAGUUUUUCCUCCGAAGACCGACACUAAGACCGACACUUGACCCAUCCCAGACCGUAGUCCUUAACCAUGGACACGGCUAUUCGAAUAGAUAUAAUCUCUGCAGAGGGUGUACUCUUUACCCACGAGUAAUGGAUUCCUUUAGUCCAUCGGGACUAAUUCCGUCUACGGUCUUUUACUUGAAAACACACCUGACCGCACACACACCAGCCUAACUUACCGGUGUCUGGAAUCACCCACGACACCCGUUAAGCGAAACUAUAAGUGGGGAGGCUACAACCUCGACUAGCAUGGGAUCACAAAAUUUAUAACGCAUGCAAACUAGGGGAGCUACCCCCUCGGCACCAACCGGAAACACCCAUGCCCCCGGACCAAGUGGCAUGCCUACCGGAUGCAGCCGGUAUCUUCCACCAUGGCCUCUCUAUACGGUGUGUGCUAGGAAGGGGUUGACAACUUACUGAACCAUACCCUACCUAGGGCAGGGACAAGUGGUAGUACGAAACAAGUAUGGGGGUUACUGGAACAAGACUCGAUCUAUGGUCGACUCAGGAGGUUAAAGCAUUUCCUGCAUGAUAAGCAUAAGAAAUAUAUCUCACACCAAUCAGACAGAAUCACUACUCAUCAUACCUUACCAUGCCUUACCAGACAUAAUCGUCUCGACGAAGAACUAGAGACAAGCUCGUGUCUACACAAGACAGAGACUUUCCCGGAUUCCUUCCAGUAGGCAUGAAAGGCAUACGAGGGUGAUUACUAUCACAAGCAUAUUAAAUUCCAACAACACGGAAUCAUCAAUAUGCACUCAUGAGUAUGAUCAUAUCAACACACAAAAUAACGAAUACUCCGAGUCAAGGUGGUGUUGUAACCGUAUCAAACAACACACAACAAUAUUAUGCUAGGGUUCAAAAUGAUUGCCUUCAAGAGUAUGCAAGUGGGGUGCAUUUUUUGAAAGUUGCCUCCCUCUCCAAAAUCCUAUUUAAGAAAAAUUCAAAUUAACACAUAGUUUCAAAACAGUACAAAAAAGUUGUUUGAAUUUUUUCAAAUAAAUAUGAAAAUAAACUUGUAGCGACCAGACCUCAAACAGUCUGAUCUCUGUGCUCCGGUGUCAUCCCUGGAUUAGUAAUGCUGACACCACACAUUACUCGGAGGAUUUAUAGCAGAGUAGCAAUCACACACUUAUUACAUCGACUGUCUCAAAAGAUAUCUUAUUACAAUAAAUAUGGCUUAAGGCCAUCUAAUAACGAUAACAACGGAUGGCUUGGAAGAUAAGUGAGUCCAUCAACUCCAACGGCAUCACUGAGUAUAGAACCACGACCUAAAAACUCCUUAAUCGUUGUCUGAAAAGUCUGCAACAUUAACGUUGCAGCCCGAAAACGGGUCAGCACAUGGAAUAUGCUGGCAAUGUAACACAUAGAGAGUAAUGGAAUGAAACAGCUAUACUAUAUGCAUAUUUGGCUGGUGGAAAGCUCUAUGGUUACAGUAGCAAAAACUUGUUUAAGUUGGUUAAACAGAUAGAGGGUUUUGAGACGAAUCCCUAGGCGCUUGAAUCGCAUGAUUCCAAUAAACGAGCGAAAAGUUAAACUAAAACGAAAAUUAGAUUAGGAAUCGCGAUCAGAAAAAACGCGGAUUUAAUCCGAGAAAAAGAAAAACGACAAAUGCCGACCUUUUUUUUUUUCUUUUCUUUCUUUUUUUCGGCACGGAAAACGAGGCGCGACGAACCUCGGCGGCGAGAUCCGGCGGCGGCGGCGGCUUCUUAGGGCGGCGGCGGCUUAGGGCGCUUUAGGGUUUCCCCCGGGGUCGGGCCUCGGCUUAUAAAGGCCUCCCGGUCGGUGUCCAGGUCGGAUACGGCCCGUUAAGUCGGUUCGUUUUUUUAAUUAUUCCGAUUGGAAGAAAAAUAAAAAGAAAUACUAAACAUACUCCAAAAAUUCCGAAAUAAAUUUUCACAAGCCGCACAAGGUGAGCAUUUAUUUGGGAACUAAAUGCAAUUUUGAAAAACGCACUUUUUUCCUAACUUCAAAUAAAACACCGAAAAACUCCGAAAUAAAAUCUUAUUUGAUUUUAUUAUUAAAUCCUCAAUAUUUCUUUAUUUUGGGAAAUUCAUUUUAUUCCCUCUCUCAUAUUUUUGUAAUAGAAAUAAUUGACAAUAAAAUAAAUAAAAUUAAAUGAUCAUAUUCUCAAAAUUUGAGAAAACUCAAAUAUGAAAAUAACGAAAUCCCCAACUCUCUCCGUGGGUCAUUGUGUUGCGUAGAAUUUCUAGGAUCAACCAAAUGCAAAAUAAAAUAUGAUAUGCAGUGAUGAUCUAAUGUAUAACAUUCCAAAUUGAAAAUUUGGGAUGUUACAAACCUACCCCCCUUAAGAUGAAUCUCGCCCUCGAGAUUCGGGUUGGCUAGAAAAUAGGUGAGGGUGGUCUUUGAGCAAAUCUUCCUCUCGUUCCCAGGUGGCUUCAUCCUCUGUGUGGUGACUCCACUGAACUUUGCAAAACUUGAUAACCUUGCUGCGGGUAACUCGGUUGGCAAACUCGAGAAUCUUAAUUGGUUUCUCCUCGUAGGUCAAAUCAUUAUCCAACUGAAUAGUUUCCAAAGGCACUGUAUCUCUCAACGGUAUGUCAGCCAUCUCCGCGUGACAUUUCUUUAAUUGAGAAACGUGGAACACAUCAUGUACUCCUGACAAUCCUUCAGCCAAUUCCAACUUGUAGGCCACUUCUCCCAUACGUUCCAAAACUCGAUAUGGUCCUACAAUUCAUGGCGCUAACUUCCCUUUAACUCCAAAAUGCUUUGUUCCCCGAAGCGGUGAUACUCGAAGAUAAGCUCUAUCUACAACUUCGUAAACUGUCUCCUUGCGUUUAGAAUCCGCAUAACUCUUCUGUCUGGACUGGGCUACCUUGAGCCUAUCGCGAAUCAACUUCACCUUCUGUUCAGACUCUUUAAUCAAGUCAGGUCCAAACAACUGGCGGUCUCCAAGUUCGUCCCAUGACAGCGGUGUCCUGCACCUCCUUCUGUACAAAGCUUCGAAAGGGGCCAUCUUCAAACUGGUUUGGUAACUGUUGUUGUAAGAGAACUCUGCAUAUGGAAAAUUAUCGUCCCAACUAGAUCCAUAAUCUAGUGCACAAGCUCUCAGCAUAUCCUCCAAAAUCUGAUUGACUCUCUCGGUCUGUCCAUCUGUCUGUGGAUGAAAAGCUAUACUGAAUUCUAGCCUGGUACCCAAUGUUUCGUGCAACUACUUCUAGAACUUUGAGGUAAACUGGGUUCCUCUAUCUGAUACGGUACUCCUUGGAACUCCAUGCAACAUACGAUCCUGGUCAUGUAUAUCUUUGCCAACUUAGCACUGGUGUAAGUGGUCUUUACUGGGAUGAAAUGAGCUACUUUCGUCAAUCGAUCGACUAUAACCCAAAUCGAGUCAUAGCCUGAACGAGUCCUGGGCAAUCCCAUGAUAAAAUCCAUGCCUAGCUUAUCCCACUUCCAUUCGGGUAUCAGCAAUGGUUGUAACAAUCCUGCUGGCUUCUGAUGCUCUGCCUUUACUCUCUGGCAUACCUCACAAACAGCUACAUACUCCGCAAUAUCCUUCUUCAUUCCGGUCCACCAGAAAAUAUCCUUCAAAUCCAAAUACAUCUUGGUAUUUCCUGGGUGAAUUAAAUACGGUGAGUCAUGUGCCUCUUGCAGUAUCAACUUCUUGAUCUCCGGGUCAUUGGGCACGUAAACGCGGUCUUCAAACCAUAGGGUGUCAUGCUCAUCCUCACGAAAUCCUUUAGCUUUUCCUUUGCUCAGUUUCUCCUUUAUAGCGGCAAUCUCUUUGUCAGCUUUCUGAGCUUCUCUGAUUCUAUCCAUCAAAGUUGACUAAAUCUCCAAUGCUGCUACAUAGCCUCUCGGAACUAUUUCCAAACAUAGUUCACGAAGAUUUUCUGCUAACUCCGUGGGUAUUUCUCCCAUCAUUAAUGUAUUGACGUGGCUCUUAUGGCUUAAUGCGUCAGCUACUACAUUAGCCUUUCCGGGAUGAUAAUGCAAUUUCAUAUCAUAAUUCUUGAUAAGCUCCAACCAUCUCCUUUGUAUGAGAUUCAACUCCUUCUGUGUGAAAAUGUACUUCAAACUCUUAUGAUCCGUGUACACCUCACAAUGAUUUCCAAUGAGAAAAUGUCUCCAUGUUUGCAAUGCAUGCACUACGGCUGCUAACUCCAAAUCAUGUGUGGCAUAAUUCAACUCAUGAGGCUUUAGUUGUCUUGAGGCAUAUGAAACAACUCUCCCUUCCUACAUAAGCACUGCUCCAAGUCCUCGACGUGAAGCGUCGCAAUACACCUCAUAAUCCUUGGUCUGGUCUGGCAAGAUCAAUACUGGUGAGGUAACCAAGCAUUUCUUCAACUCCUGGAAACUAGCCUCACAUUCCUCUAUCCAUAUGAACUUGGUAUCCUUCUUCAACAACUCAGUCAUAGGCUUCGCAAUCUUUUAGAAAUUCUCAAUAAAUCUUUGGUAGUAUCCUGCGAGUCCAAGAAAACUCCGGAUCUCUCCAACUAUUGUUGGGGCUUCCCACUUGGUCAUAGUUUCAACUUUAGCGGGAUCUACUGCUAUACCUUCUCCAGAUAUAACGUGUCCGAGGAAUCCUACUUCCUUCAACCAAAACUCACAUUUGCUGAACUUGGCAUAUAAUUGAUGUUCUCUAAGCUUUCCAAGUACCAAACACAAAUGCUCCUUAUGUUCCUCUUCAUUCUUCGAAUAAACCAGGAUAUCAUCAAUGAACACUACGACGAACUUAUCCAAAAACUCCAUAAACACUUUGUUCAUCAUGGUCAUAAAAUAGGCAGGUGCGUUAGUCAAACCAAAUGACAUAACGGUAUACUCAUACAGCCCAUACCUGGUGGUAAAAGCUGUCUUAGGAAUAUCCUGUUCUCGAAUCUUCAACUGGUGGUAUCCUAAUCGCAGAUCGAUCUUGGAAAAUACCUUAGCUCCUUGCAAUCGAUCAAACAGAUCGUUGAUCAUUGGUAGUGGGUACUUGUUCUUGAUCGUUACUUCAUUCAAUCCUCGAUAAUCAACAACCCUCCUUAACGAUCCAUCCUUCUUCUCCACUAGAAGUACUAACGAUCCCCAAGGCGAAGAACUUGGGCGAAUAUAUCCUUUAUCCAGUAACUCCUUAAUCUGCUUCUUAAUUUCCACCAAAUCCUUUGCUGGCAUCCUAUAUGGUCUCUUUGAUAUUGGCCCUGUGCCUGGCGAUAGCUCAAUCAAAAACUCAAUAUCUCUAUCCGGUGGCAUGCCUGGCAACUCCUCUGGAAAUACAUCAGGGAAAUCCCUUACCACUGGUACUUCCUCCUGCACAACUCCUGUUAGGAAAUUUACUUGAGUCCUCUUUGGCACAUGCCGGGAUACAUACUUGAUCCUUCUCCCUUCUGGGGUGGUAAGCAAAAUUGACUUACUAGCACAUUCUAUAUUCCCUUCAUACUUUGAUAACCAAUCCAUGCCUAAUAUCACAUCCAAUCCUUGAGAUUCCAAUACUAUUAGGUCUGAGGGAAAAACAUGGUUACCAAUCCUUAAUGGUAACUGAUCACACCAUCGACUAGCCAUAUAUUCUGCUCCGGGCGAGGUUACUAACAUGGGUGACCUAAGGGCUUGGGUUGGUAGGUUAUACUUAUCCACAAAUACCCUUGAGAUGUAUGAAUGCGAUGCACCAGUAUCAAAAAGAACGAGUGCAGUAAAUGACUUAACCAAAAACUUACCUAUUACUGCAUCGGGCUGAGCUUCAACCUCCUCCAUGCUAACGUGGUUCACCUGUACCCUGUUAAAAGGGUUCGGCUUCUUCCCAGAACUUCCAUUGCUAUUUCCAUUUUGCAAUUCAGGACAUUCAUUUGCAUAAUGUCCUGUCUUCGAACACUUAAAGCAAGUGACUUGGCUUAAGUCCUUCUUGGCUGGGGUUGAGGGGUUGGUGCGAUUCUGGCCGUUGCUUCCUCCAUUGCCAUUACCAUUCUUGGUGCCAUUGUGAUUGUGCGAGCUACCUCCUCCAUGGGUAUGCUGAAAAUGUCCUCCCAGUCUAGGGGUAAAAUGUGGCUUCUGCUGAGCUCCUGAAUUGUACUUUCCUUGUCCAUACUUCCUCUUGCGAUUCUCAAUCUGCUGCUGCUUCCCUUCAAUCAUAAGAGCACGAUCUACCAACUCCUGGUAGUUGUUGAAGGUUGCUACCAUCAACUGCAUGCUCAACUCAUCAUUCAGUCCUUCCAGAAACUUCUCCUGCUUAGCUGCAUCCGUAGCGACGUCAUCUGGGGCAUAACGUGCUAGCUUACUAAAUUCCUCCGCAUACUGGCCAACUGUCCUUCCUCCUUGGCGCAAGUUGCGAAACUCAUGCUUCUUCAUGGCCAUAGCUCCUGCUGAAACAUGUGCAGUACGAAAAGCUUGCUGAAACUGGUCCCACGUGACAGUGUCUACAGGGAAAGUGGCUGUGAAAUUCACCCACCAUGAUGCUGCGGGUCCUUCUAACUGAUGUGCGGCAAACUUCACCUUCUCUGCAUCUGUGCAUCUUGCUGUAGUCAACUCCCUAGCUGUCUUGCGGAGCCAAUCAUCUGCUACUAUCAGCUCGGUGCUACUGGAAAACAUCGGCGGAUUCAGCCUAAGAAAACAGGCUAAGUGGUCAACAAGUGGUGGUGGUGGUGGUGGGUUGUUGUUGUUGCUCCCCUGAUUCUGAUUCUGGACUAGCAAGUGCAUCAAUGUGUUUUGCUGCUGGAUCAACUGGGUGAGCUCCGGUGGAAAGGCAAAUCCGCGGUCACGUCUCGGAGGCAUCUGAGGGUUUAGAAAAGAUGAGAUAUAAGAAUAAAGGGGGUCUAAAGAGAAAACACUACCCAUAUGCACAUGAGGCAAAACAAACAAUUCACUUCAAUCAAUCAAACAAGGGCAUACAAUCGAUCUAUCUAUCGCAAAAGUGCUCGGACUACUAUAUUCACAUGGUGGACUACUACUACUGAUGAGGUGGUCUACUAGAAAUAUUCUUCGAUUGCAGACUCCAUGAUAUCUGCUCCAGCUUCAUCAACAUAGUCAUCAUCGCUACUAUCUGCUUCCGAGUCGGUGCCGUCGAUGAUGAUGUAGUCUUCCGGGCUAAUCUCCUGGGGUUCUUCGUCUUCAUCUACUGGCAUAGGGCCUCCCAUAAAUAUUCCAAUCUUCUUGAUCAGGUCGUCAUUCUUCUCCACCAAUACUUCAAUUUCCUCUUCAUAAUCUUCACGUGUAGCCUUGAGUUCUUCCUCCAGUUCCUUGAUUCUAGUCUUUGCCUUCUUCAGGUCUAUCAUGUCGGCGCACAUCUGGUUCUCCUGUCGUCGAAUGUGCUGGUUUAGCUCCUGGAUAAAAGCUGCGAUUGAUCUAUCCUUCCUGGUGCUGAUCAUCUCCCAGUGUUCAUCUCGGCGCCCACAAAUCUGGUAGAUAGUAUCCUUGAGAUCCUUGCGGUAGACUUCUCCAAUGCGUCCCAUGGCGAUGUGAGCUGCCAUGCUCUUUCCUAGACUCCAAGUUGGUGCAUCAAAAGAAAACUCUAUGGGCUCAGUGACUGGCAUGAACAUCCUUCCUGCAACUUGAACUUGAAUCAUCCAGUGCUCUUCUUCAGGUAAAGUGGCGUUGUAGGUUCCGGUGAAGCUUGGUACUCCUAUCAUGGAUAUCAAAGGAAUAGAUUUAAUUACCUACAUGCCCUACAUCUGCUAGUCUACCACUGUAAGAGUUUGCACAACUUAGUCAACUAUGCUAGAGCCCAUAAUAGCUUGUGGCUGCACACGGAAGUUUCUAGUAUGAAUAGUCUCAUGAUCCCUCUGAGCCUGGGUGGCGGUCCAAAAGAAAACAGGCAAGUCAUGGAAUACCCAGGUGCCUCAAUCCACCCAGAUGUGUGUUUAAGUUGCCACCUUAGAUAAACCAUUAAUUUAACAAUCUCACAUCUGUCAUGGAUAUCACUCAAACAAUCCACGUCUACUAGCAUAGCAUGGCAUAAUAAGCAAACGUAGAAGUAACUCCCAAAGGUUUGAUAAUAAACAGGUAAUAGGUACUACCUCAUCUACUUCCCAUCCCACAAUUUAAUUAGAUCCUAAUCAUGCAAUGUGUGAGGAUUGAUCUAAUGCAAUAAAACUGGGUAGUAGAAAAUGUAUGAUCAAAGUGUUACUUGCCUUGCUGAUGAUCUGCGAAACCUAACGAUUCGAAGUAACAAGCGACGCACUCCGGGUAUUCUAUCACAGACAAAUAAACAAGCAUACAAUAAGUACUCAUCUAAUGCACAGGUAAAACUCAAAUAAGAGAUCUAACCAGAAGGUUCAACUUAAGAACUCCGGUUGGCAAAAAGAAUCAAAUCGAACGAAGCAACGGAAAUCAAACGGCGAAAGAAAACAACUUCGUUCUAGUAAUCUGGAUCUAGGGCAAAUUUUACAGUAGCAAAAACUUGUUUAAGUUGGUUAAACAGAUAGAGGGUUUUGAGACGAAUCCCUAGGCGCUUGAAUUGCAUGAUUCUGAUAAACGAGCGAAAAGUUAAACUAAAACGAAAAUCAGAUUAGGAAUCGCGAUCAGAAAAAACGCGGAUUUAAUCCAAGAAAAAGUAAAACGACGAAUGCCGACCUUUUUUUUCUUUUUUUUAUUUUUUUUCGGCACGGAAAACGAGGCGCGACGAACCUCGGCAGCGAGAUCCGGCGGCGGCGGACGUCGGCGGCGGCGGCGGCUUCUUAGGGCGGCGGCGGCUUAGGGCGCUUUAGGGUUUCCCCCGGGGCCAGGCCUCGGCUUAUAUAAAGGCCUCCCGGUCGGUGUCCAGGUCGGACACGGCCCGUUAAGUCGGUUCGUUUUUUUAAUUAUUCCGAUCAGAAGAAAAAUAAAAAGAAAUACUAAACGGAUUCCUUCCAGUAGGCAUGAAAGGCAUACGAGGGUGAUUACUAUCACAAGCAUAUUAAAUUCCAGCAACACGGAAUCAUCAAUAUGCACUCAUGAGUAUGAUCAUAUCAACACACAAAAUAACGAAUACUCCGAGUCAAGGUGGUGUUGUAACCGUAUCAAACAACACACAACAAUAUUAUGCUAGGGUUCAAAAUGAUUGCCUUCAAGAGUAUGCAAGUGGGGUGCAUUUUUUGAAAGUUGCCUCCCUCUCCAAAAUCCUAUUUAAGAAAAAUUCAAAUUAACACAUAGUUUCAAAACAGUACAAAAAAGUUGUUUGAAUUUUUUUCAAAUAAAUAUGAAAAUAAACUUGUAGCGACCAGACCUCAAACAGUCUGAUCUCUGUGCUCCAGUGUCAUCCCUGGAUUAGUAAUGCUGACACCACACAUUACUCGGAGGAUUUAUAGCAGAGUAGCAAUCACACACUUAUUACAUCGAGUGUCUCAAAAGAUAUCUUAUUACAAUAAAUAUGGCUUAAGGCCAUCUAAUAACGAUAACAACGGAUGGCUUGGAAGAUAAGUGAGUCCAUCAACUCCAACGGCAUCACUUAGUAUAGAACCAUGACCUAAAAACUCCUUAAUCGUUGUCUGAAAAGUCUGCAACAUUAACGUUGCAGCCCGAAAAUGGGUCAGCACAUGGAAUAUGCUGGCAAUGUAACACAUAGAGAGUAAUGGAAUGAAACAGCUAUACUAUAUGCAUAUUUGGUUGGUGGAAAGCUCUAUGGUUACAGUUUUGCGUAAAUCCAAUUUUUCCCUACUUCAAAGGAAUAGAUUUAAUUACUAUCAUGGUGGUUGUCAAACAUUGAGAAUGGUUGACAGCAUCCUCAAUCCAAAAAUUAAGCAUCAUCAUUAAACAUAACCCAACAUAAUUAAUUUAGAGUAACAUGUUGAGAUUCACAUGAAAAUCCAAGUACUAGAUACUCAAGAUGUCCAUAACCGGGGACACGGCUAACCAUGAUUAGUUUAUUACACUCUGCAGAGGUUUGCACACUUUUCCCCACAAGACUCGAUCACCUCUGUUUGGUUUCUCGCACUACAUGGUGUUUGAGAAGACGGAUGACUGAGACAUAGUCUUUCAGAAGCGCCAGCACCUUACGAUCGGGUAGACUGUACCACCUACAUCCCCUACAUCUACUAGUCUACCACUGUAAGAGUUUGCACUACUUAGUCAACUAUGCUAGAGCCCAUAAUAGCUUGUGGCUGCACACGGAAGUUUCUAGUAUGAAUAGUCUCAUGAUCCCUCUGAGCCUGGGUGGCGGUCCAAAAGAAAACAUGCAAGUCAUGGAAUACCCAGGUGCCUCAAUCCACCCAGAUGUGUGUUUAAGUUGCCACCUUAGAUAAACCAUUAAUUUAACAAUCUCACAUCUGUCAUGGAUAUCACUCACACAAUCCACGUCUACUAGCAUAGCAUGGCAUAAUAAGCAAACGUAGAAGUAACUCCCAAAGGUUUGAUAAUAAACAGGUAAUAGGUACUACCUCAUCUACUUCCCAUCCCACAAUUUAAUUAGAUCCUAAUCAUGCAAUGUGUGAGGAUUGAUCUAAUGCAAUAAAACUGGGUAGUAGAAAAGGUAUGAUCAAAGUGUUACUUGCCUUGCUGAUGAUCCGCGAAACCUAACGAUUCGAAGUAACAGGCGGCGCACUCCGGGUAUUCUAUCGCAGACAAACAAACAAGCAUACAAUAAGUACUCAUCUAAUGCACAGGUAAAACUCAAAUAAGAGAUCUAACCAGAAGGUUCAACUUAAGAACCCCGAUUGGCAAAAAGAAUCAAAUCGAAUGAAGCAACAAAAAUCAAACAACGAAAGAAAACAACUUCGUUCUAGUAAUCUGGAUCCAGGGCAAAUUUUACAGUAGCAAAAACUUGUUUACAUUGGUUAAACUGAUAGAGGGUUUCGAGACGAAUCCCUAGGCGCUUGAAUCGCCUGAUUCCGAUAAACGAGCGAAAAGUUAAACUAAAACGAAAAUCGGAUCAGGAAUCGCGAUUAGAAAAAUCGCGGAUUUAAUCCGAGAAAAAGAAAAACGACAAACGCCGACCUUUUUUUCUUUUUCCUUUUUAUUCGGCACGGAAAACGAGGCGCGACGAACCUCGGGGGCUAGAUCCGUCGGCGGCGGCGGACGUCGGCGGCGGCGGCGGCUUCUUAGGGCGGCGGCUUAGGGCGCUUUAGGGUUUCCCCCGGGGCUGGGCCUCGGCUUAUAAAGGCCUCCCGGUCGGUGUCCAGGUCGGACACGGCCCGUUAAGUCGGUUCGUUUUUUUAAUUAUUCCGCUCGGAAGAAAAAUAAAAAGAAAUACUAAACGGACUCCAAAAAUUCCAAAAUAAAUUUUCGCGGGCUUCUAAAGACAAGCCACACAAGGUGAACAUUUAUUUGGGACCUAAAUGCAAUUUUGAAAAACACACUUUUUUCCUAAAUUCAAAUAAAACACCGAAAAACUCCGAAAUAAAAUCUUAUUUGAUUUUAUUAUUAAAUCCUCAAUAUUUCUUUAUUUUGGGAAAGUCAUUUUAUUCCCUCUCUCAUAUAUUUGUAAUAGAAAUAAUUGAUGAAAAAAUAAAUAAAAUCAAAUGGUCCUAUUCUCCAAAUUUGAGAAAACUCAAAUAUGAAAAUAAGGAAAUCCCCAACUCUCUCCGUGGGUCAUUGAGUUGCGUAGAAUUUCUAGGAUCAACCAAAUGCAAAAUAAAAUAUGAUAUGCAGUGAUGAUCUAAUGUAUAACAUUCCAAAUUGAAAAUUUGGGAUGUUACAAAACUAGACAAAAUUUGUGAAACAAUAGAAAAAGAAUCAAAUCAAUUGGACUUGUAUUUAAAAAGUUAUAGCCAGUAAAAGUUUAGUCAAAAAUCUAUUUUUAAUUUAAAACGGAAAAAGAAAACGGUUCGGCAGCACUUACGUUUUCCUCUAGCGAAGGCAUAGUUGGUGGAAUACGCUUCUACUUAAAACACGAUUCGACGGGGCUAGGUCACUGACAGUGGGUCCACCGGGCCCACUGGUCAGGUUGGACCAGUCGCCCGCGCCUCCAUCCUCCUCUGUCCGAGCGGAGGCGAGCCUCCGGCGAUUGCCGUCGACGAACGGCGGCUCUCCACGGGAUUCCGAGGGCAGGGAUGGAUCCGCCAAUCCAUGGCGGUCCUCCGAGUGGUCGAGAGGGUCGUGGGGACAAAGGGGGUCGCUGGCGGCGAGCUCCGCGGCGGACGGUGGCUUCAGGUGGAUCAGGGUCUCUAGCCACGGUGGCUCUCGACCGGGUUUGAGAGGUGGGGUGGCUCCGCAAGGUCUAGGGGAGUCGGACGGUGGCACUGGAUGGACGGGGGAGGCUAUGCUCACGAUUCACGGCAUCGGAGUGUGGUGGCGGCCGAACUGGCCGGAAAUGGGGAAGAAGGCCUCCCUCCGUUGAUUGUCGGCUGUGGGGGCUCUAGAGGGAUGGCCUGAGGUCGCCUGAAGGUCUGGAUGAGCUCAGGGGCUCCUUUUAUAGGCGGUCAAGGUCGGUUCCGCGGCGGCCGGGGAUAAGAUCGACGGUGAGCUGCUACUUUGGCCAUAGAUGACGUGGUGAUGCAGGGGGUGGCUUGGAGGAGUGACUGGAUGAGCUCGAGCUGUUCAGGGGCGAGCUGGCGCACAGUUGUGGCUCGGGCGGCGCCGUCCAUGGCAGAGGCUGGCGGAGCGCCGGUGGCGGCUUGCUGUGGUGGCGCUGUGGGAUGUCAGGAGGUGGCCAGGGCGGCUCUGCGAUGAGGGAGGGGUCGGGGUGCGAUGGCUGUGAGUGGGAAGGGAUCAGAACGGGUGCGGGGAGGCGGCAGCGGGCUGCGGCGACUCGGGCACACGCACGUGCAAAACAUGCGCUCUGGCCACGCCCAGAGCACGCACGCCAUGUGUUCGGCAAAAUGCCAAGGCAUGCCAGGAGGCUUGGAUGAGGCUAGGGAUUAACAGGUCUAGGUUAGUGGUGGCUACGAGAUUAGUGGACAUGCUGGUUAGGCAAAGCAAGCAGGUCCAACGUGCAAACUAAAAACUAUGUCAAAUUUGGCCGCGCACACAAGGUGCUUGACAGAAUGCCAUGGGCUUCUAGGCAUCUCUUCUGGUGGCCAAAAACUCCAGAUCGUAGUCUCUUUAGAUGAUAAAGAGGGUGGCAACGUUAGUUUGAAAAAAACAAAAACUCCCUAGUGCAAGUUUUUGAGAAAACCAAAUCUAGACAGAAAGUAAAGGGCAUUAUUGCAUGGACCAAAAAUACUCCAAUGGGUCCAAUCUCCUGGACUUAAGGGUUUGGUAGAGUGUACUUCAAGCAGGACAAAGCCCAAGGCAACAAGAGCAAGAUAAAAUAUGGUUGCAGUAGAAAUUACCAAACUGGACCAGAGAUCAAAAGACGAUGAUUUGCUCAAAUUUUUCAAAGAACUCCAAUGGGUUUUUGCAUAAAGUUGAAUUAUAUACUCCUACUAACAUCUUGCAACUUUGGUGGAAUUUUUAAAGAAAUAUUUAAAUACAAACUGAUCCAGAUUUGAAAACUUGAGGUAGGGCUCAAAAUUUCCAAAUGACUAAAAGAGAUUUUUGCAUAAAAGUGAUGUGGGAACAUCACAUGAGAUCCCCAAAUUUUGGUGGGGAUUUUAAAGAAGUAUUUGAAAGGGUUGUAGUGCAAAUGGAACCCUAAAACUUAUGAAAAAUCAUUUUUAAAGAAAUAAAGCUCAGGGAAAAUAAUUGUAGAAAUAAUUCCACUGAUAAAAAGAAAUGGUCUUAGGACGAUAUACAAGUCCAACAAUAUUUUUGAAAGGAUUCCACUUGGCGUGAAAACUCCACAAUUUAGGAGAAAAGAGUGGUUCUAAAUUAAAAGAAAAUCCAGAAAAUAAAAAAUUAAUUUACCAUGGUGAAAUUUUAAUUAAUAAAUCAUGGUUAAAUUUUUGGGGUGUUAGAACACUACCCCCCUUAAGAAAAAUCUCGUCCUCGAGAUUUGCUAGGGGCUGUUUUGAAAAAGAAUUACUCAUACUAUCUCAUAGUAAAAUCAUAAAAAUAACCAUCCUACCCAUGCAAUAAAAUGUUGCUAUAGUGAAAGGGUAAAUAAGUGGUGUAAAACUACAAUGUGGAAUACUGGCGCUGCGUGGACAAAUCCAUGGUUGGGGGAAAACGAGAAAUUUCUACUUUUGGUUACAGUGAAUUUAGAAUAAAUUUCUAAAUUUCUAAAAUAUGUUGGUCGCACCCGAGAGCACAGUGCUCUUUCUGGCUAACAGAUGGACCAGGGGCCCAUUGUCAGACUCUUCUUCUACCUUUGGCUCUCUCUUCUUCCUCUCUCUCGUGCACUUUCCCGCGCUUUCUCCACCGGCGACGUCUAGCGCGUAGGGCAUCUAGGCCGUACUACGGUACUGCGCGGCGCGCUAGCUGCUGGUGCAACGUUCACUCACCUCGCGAGCCAGUGUGCUGUCGGCACUGCUCGCAGAUUCGCCUCCGAACACCGGCGAUCGAGCGACGAGCGGUGCUGGUGGACUUUGCCCACCAUACACCGAUCUCGAGCUAUAAAAUGACUGAGGUGCUCCUUCCUUCUUCCUCAUACCUGGCCUCGCUCCUCCUUCUCCUUCCUUCUUCUGCAUUUCUGUUUGCAGGAGCUCGAUACUAGGCUCUAAUGGCGGAGGUGAUGCUGGACUGGUACAUGAUCCUGGUGUGCGGAGGGUUGGCAACAUUUGCUGGGGUUCUCCGUGCUCUUGUGCGCGAUGAUCCUCGAUGAUCGUCGUGAUGCUGCUGCUCGAGUGUUAGCUCUCCGCGGUGGCGGUGAUCAUGAGGAUUAGGUGCCGGUGUCGUAUGCUAACUGUUGUUAGUGUGCUCUAGGCAACUUGCACCUGAAUAAUUACCUACAAAUCUCUCCUUCAGAGACUGUGGUGUGCAGGGGGGGGGUGAUCAGUUAGGUGCAACACGUACACGUGGAUUUCCAAUUAGUGCACGUGGUCGAGUGGUUGGGGUUGUGAGUCUGUUGUCGUGGUGCUGCGUGAAUAAAAAUCUAUGUCAUGAAGAGACAUAUGUUGUAACAACUCAGGAAAAAAAUCUCACUUCAGAAAUUACUGAGAGUGAAAUUAGUUAAUAAAAAUUAACAGCAGUAAAAACUACUCACAUUAAUUGAAACCAAAUAUUUAAUUCAUCGCACAAAUUUAGGAUACCACACAUAAGUUGCAACACAUAAAUAAAUGUUGGGACAAUAAUCAUAGCAGUGACGUCUACAAUGAAAAUGGUAAAUAGACAGGGUCUUGAGAAAACGUCUUUGGUACUGGGGCACACUCCUCUUCUAUCGGGGGAAGCAGAUUGACUAGAUGAUGAAUGCGUCUCUCCUGGUCGGGCCUUAGUGGUCUGCCAAUAGCGAUCUGAGGGUUUAAAUCAGCGAGGAUCUGGAGAUAGCCCAUUACCCACUGGGUCAAACGCUCUUGAGCGAUGACAUACUGGGCAAGGUUGGCCAGCACUGGGUCUCUCUCAAUUCGUCCGCCAGGAAAAGAUGCUACUUCUCCGGGUGCUGCAUGACUCGGAAAGUAAUAAUACCCUCGUUUGCUGGCAUAGGGCACCGCAAAUCGAAGGCGAGCAAGCGCUUCGUACGCAGCAGCCUCUAUGGCCAUUUGCGGAGUCGGCAUAGAUUUUCCCACGAAGGAGACUUCUGUUGGGUCUUGGUUUGGGUUUGCGGGAGGGAUGUGCACCACUGCCCAAUAUUUCGAGGUGGAAGGGGUGAUCCUCGAUUUGAGCAACUUGUACUGGGGUGGAUGGGUAGAACUCAUUGCACUGCAGGUAAAGUCCCACAAUAUUUUAACAAAACUACCUGGGGUUGCAUCUGGAGUUCUCAGAUAGAUACUAGGGCUCGGCAUGGCAAAGGAAUGGUUGUGAGAGCUGUGCACGAGGAAAGGGAUGCUUGGUAAGGUGACGAGGUGGCCUUUUAUAUAGCAUCUGGGCUGGGUCAUUUAUCACGGUGAGGGGCAACUAGUUUGUCGGUUCUACUCUUAUGGGGUCAGGUCAAUGCCACAGAUACACAUAUCUCACAAAAGCGAUGCAUUACUGUGAGUGUCAUCGGGGUGGUUUUUGGUAGCUACGCCCGGAAUUAAAAUGCAGCCGUACACCAACAUACUUAUGUAUGGUUACUAUAAAGUAGGGGCAUACAAACAGACAACAUAUAACUAUGGCGGUACAAGAUCACACAAUUACAGGGCGUGGACAUACUAACACUCAGUACUACUCGAGUGACUUAGUCUACCUCGUUUAUAUCUAAGCGGGCGUGCCUUAUGGACGUCGAGGCUUCUCCAUGGGUUUCACCGUCGAGGUUAGCUGGAUGGAGUUGAGGGGCUGCAGGGUCGGGGUAGCGAUGAUGACCAUCGCGGGGGUUGUUGGCCACAAUCCCAUUGGAGCGUGUUCACAAAAGGCGACAAAGCACUUCUGGGGACACCAAAGCAUUUUGGUCGAUGGCUGGGGCAGGCCUCAAGGACUCGAUCGGUUGUCCGAACAACACGACUAGGUUGUCGGCGUCGGGCUCAUCUUCUCCUCUUGCCGGGGCUUGGCGAACUAGUUCUCCACGGGCUGCGAUCAGGUCAAGGGUGAUUUAAUCGAACAGUUCCUCUGGUGCACUUACAUAGCGCACCAGAUGCAACAAUGCAGGAUCCGUCUCGUGAUCUCCGUUGGCAACCUGGGGUGGCCUACCAUACCCGUCAUGGCUUGGGUAGUAGUAGAAUGAGCGGCAGUUAACUCUGGGCGAUAAGUGCCGGAGUUGAACUAUAGCCUGUCGAGCAGCUAGUUGUAUGGCUUGUGGCUCAAAGGAAGUUGUCCUUCCGGUGAACCUGUAGGGGCGUUCUGGCGAUAGACCCCUACCAUAGACGUGUACAGUGGCCCAGAAUUGACGGCUCUCACCGCUCAUGGUCCCUUGGUACACAACAUACUCUGGGGGCUCUUCUAAUGCAAUGGCACGGCGGCUGAGGUUUGCUAGCACGGUCACAAAACCUCCAAGGUUGGUUGCUGUGGUCUCAUUGUGAACAAUGGGUCCAGGCAUUAUAGCUCGUUUUGGGGUAGAGGCUGUGUUGUGCUGGGUCGAGGCUAGCGUGCCCUUUUUAUAGAAAAAGGGGACAGAGUCUUCCUUCGCACGCUUGCGAAAGAGACAAUUUAGGUGUCGGUCACUGGCCCAUGAUUGACAGGCUAGGCUGAUAGGUUAGGCACUGACUGCCAAAAGGUGUCGAGGUCACUGUGUGGCUAUCUUACAUGAGAAGCUUGGCCGGGGUUAGGUUAAGGUUUGGUGGGUUGGUCAACCUAGGUUUAUUGACCUGGCUGAGAUAGGAUUAGCCAAUGGUCAGCCUGGCUCUGAUACCAAGAUUGUCAGGAUCGGGUUUUCGAGAUAUUAAUUUACCAUAAAAUGGCCCUUGUGCUCACCAGCCCUAGGAUUACGGUUAGCUAAUGAGACACCAACUUGAUACAGAAAUUCCAAGCAAAAUACAAAAUGUGUAGUACAAGACCAUUCUGUCCUAUGAGUACAACAAAUGGUUUCUAGUGGUUGAUGGCAGAAGCGGUUUGUGGUUCAUCAGCGUCUAUGGGACUCCAUUUCCCACGGGAAUAGCUAACCUGGAUAACUCCUAUCUUCGUGAGGCUGCUAUCACCAUUGCGUAGGUUCCGGGGCUGUCAUCACAACACUCCUCUCCAUGCAAGAAAUCUGGCCAAGACAAUAGCCAGGGACAAGCCAAUGAGUACUUUGAAUGUACUCGCAAACAUUAUGAACUAAUAAGCACAUUUCCUAUUCAUAAUUUGGCACACAGAUAUACCACAUAUUGUGAUCUGACCAUCAAUUAUUGUUAUGAACUAUUGCAUAUUUGAACGGAAAUCAUAUAAAGGGAUCAUUUACUUGUGACUUGUUUCUUUUGCAGAAAAGUGCGCAAAGGCACUAUAGUCAUCAAGAUUUCUACUAUGUGGCUAUCGAGAAAAGUGAAGAAAAGAAGAGAAGGAAGAAGAGACAUGUGUGAGAUGAAAAGAAGUAACCAAGGGGCUAGCUAAAGAAGUGGGAGGACCUUCUUGUGAAGAAAGAAGAGAAGGAGGAGGGCUAAUGUGUAAAGUUUGCAGAUCAGGGAGGGGAUCAAAAUCCCUAGAUCGCUUCCAUUCCCCUUCGGGCCUGGCCACAUCUCCUCUCUCGUCUCCUUCUCCACCUUCGGCCGCCGCCACAGCCAGGCCGGCGCGGGGCGCGCCACCGCUCCACUGCGCCAUCCAUCCAACCACCACUCCAUCAUCCACUCCAUCUCCACCACCCGCCGCUGCUAGCGCCGCAUCACCACCUCGAAUCAUCGCGCCAUCCAUCACCAUCUCCAACACCGCCGUCGCACACCAUCCAUCACCAUAUCCAGGGCCACCACACCAUCCUCCACUCCUCCUACUGCUACCCUCUUCUUCCUCACCUUGGUUGUUUCUCCCCUGAACUCGAACUCCUUCUCCAUCUCCAAACUGCAUGUUGCGCCUCUGCUGAAGCUUUCUCUGAACCCUCCCCCCCCACUGCUUCUCUCUUCUCCAUGCCCCCGCUGAUGUUUCUUCUUUCUCUAACCACCCGCUGCUGAAUCUCUCUCCCGCUCCUAGCGCCAGCUGCUGUUUCUCUUCCUACCCUACGUCUUAGUUCCUAAUGCUCCUCCUCCUAAUCCUCUCAUAGUGCCUCAACCUACUGCUUCUCCAAGCUCCAUUGCUGCUCCUCACUUGCGCCAGCUGCUCAUGUUCCCUACACCUCUGCUACUGGUUCUUGCUUCUCUUCUGAACCUGAAGCUCUCUCUCCCUCUUAUCUCAAACUGCUGUAAACAUUAGAAGUGUAAUGUUUAGAAUUUUGUAAUGUUCAGGGCUAUGUAAUGUUCAGACUUGACAAGUUCUAGCAACUUGUUAUUUGUUCAGUUUAGUACCUGUAUAAUAAAGUACUUGUUAUGUUGGAUCUGACUAGUUGAGGCCUUGUUAAUUUGGGAUAUAAUUGAUCUAUUAGAAUGUGCUUCUAUGUAUUACUAUUCUGCUAGCAUAUGAAUGUGUUCAUCCCUGUAUAUUUGUUCCUUAUUGCAGAAAUGUAUUCAGUCAUCCAUGUAUUAGCUCCAGUACAUGUGCUAUAUAAACAUGUGUGUGUUUGUGAUGAAAAAUCUAUCUU